This 55147-nucleotide long non-coding RNA is filed under the name Ricinus communis (castor bean). Its description in RNAcentral is "long non-coding RNA (RCOM_LNC000436)". The record is from RNAcentral. Lineage: Eukaryota; Viridiplantae; Streptophyta; Magnoliopsida; Malpighiales; Euphorbiaceae.
UGAAUUCAAGUUUGCAAAUGAUGUUUGCCAAGUUCAUUUUGGAAAUGAAUGUAUUGCAUAUGGUACUUUAAUCAAUAGUCUCUAUUAUUUAAAUAUAUAUGUAGAUAAAGCUGAAACACAUAAUGUAAAUAUAAAUGCCAAAGCAACCAAAGAUCUAAAUCUGAGAUAUUUGUGGCAUCUUAGAUUAGGUCAUAUUGCAGAAGAAAGAAUUGCUAAAUUGGUUAAAAUGGGAUUAUUGAAUUCUAUUGGUUCUGAACCAUAUACAACAUGUGAAUCUUGUUUUCAAGGCAAAAUAGUGCAAUCACCCUUUACGGGACAAAGGGAACGAGCUUCAAAUGUUUUAGGAUUGAUACAUAGUGAUGUAUAUGAAACUUUUGACAUUAUGGCACGUGGUGGUUACACUAACUCUAUUACCUUUAUUGAUGAUUUAUCAUUGCAUGGGUAUUUGUAUCUUAUGAGAUACAAGUUUGAAUCCUUUGAAAAGUACAAGGAAUUUAAAGUUGAAGUGGAGAAUCAGACAAGGCUAAGUAUUAAAGCCCUUCGAUCUGAUCGAGGUGGUGAAUAUUUUAGUAGUGAGUUUGAUCAGUUCCUAAAGAAACAUGGCAUUGUUUCACAGUUAACUCCCUUUGGAACACCAUAAUGGAAUGGUGUAUCUGAGAGGAGGAAUUGCACCUUGUUAGACAUGGUACGAUAGAUGAUGAGCUCCACUGACUUACCGACUUCCUUAUAGGGAUAUGCCCUUCUUACAGCGUUAUACCUUUUGAAUAGAAUUCCUUCUAAGUAUGUUCCUAAAACUCUAUAUGAGAUAUGGACUAGCAGGGAACCCAGUCUUAAAUAUGUUAAGAUUUAGGGUUAUCCAGCUUUUGUUAAAAAGCUAAAAAUAGUAAAAUUGGAACCCCGGUCUAUUAAAGGGAGAUUUGUUGGAUAUCCUAAUAAACAAAGGGAUCUUAUUUCUAUCUUCCUGUUGAUAUGACCAUCGUUAUUAGUAGAGAUGCUCUCUUUUUUGAAAAAUAGUUUAUUCAAGAUAGUGGGAUCAAAAGGAAGAUAGAAUUCGAUGAAGUAUCAUAUGAAGAAAGAAUCAAUCAAGAACCAGUUAAUGAACCAUCACCUAUAAACUCUAUCAUUACAUUACCUCGAAGAUCUAGUAGAAUUUCUCAUCCACCAAAGAGAUAUGGCACACUCCAUAGGAAUCUAAAAGAGUUAUUCAUUUAUGAGAUGCAGAUCAUAUAGAUGAUCCUACUAGUUAUGAAGAAUCAAUAUCAUUUAUUGAUUCUAGUAAAUGGCAUGAGGCAAUGAGAUCAGAAAUGGAUUCCAUGUAUAAGAAUGAAGUCUGAGAUCUUAUAGACCCUCCUGACGGUAUUGUACCUAUAGGGAACAAAUGGGUUUAUAAGAGAAAGAUUGGUUAUGAUGGGAAUGUUGAAACCUUUAAAGGUAAGCAGGUGGCGAAAGGGUAUCUUUAAAGGCAAGGAAUUGACUAUGAUGAAACUUUCUCGCCUAUAGCCAUGUUCAAAUCCAUUAGGAUUUAAUUAGCCAUUACUACACACUAUGAUUAUGAGAUUUGGCAGAUGGAUGUCAAAACAGCCUUCCUUAAUGGAUAUAUUAAGGAGGAGAUCUAUAUGGACUAACCUAAGGGCUUUGAAUCCAAGAGUAGUCAUAAUCAAGUAAGCAAACUUAAGAGAUCCAUUUAUGGUCUUAAAUAAGCUUCGAGGAGUUGGAACAUCCAUUUUGAUGAUGCAAUUAAAUCAUUUGGUUUCAUCAAAAAUAUGGAUGAAACAUGUGUAUACAAGAAGGUUAGUAGGAGUGCUAUCACUUUUCUUGUACUUUAUGUAGAUGACAUAUUGUUGUUCAGAAAUAAUAUAGGCAAUACUUCCAUAAAAGUAUGAUUGUCAAAGAUUUUCUCCAUUAAAGAUUUAGGUGAAGCAACCUAUAUUUUGGAAAUUCAUAUCUAUAAAGAUAGAUUGAAAAGGACUAUAGGCCUUUUCCGAGGUCUUUACUUAGACAAGGUAUUGAAGAAAUUCAACAUGCUUGAUUCUAAGAGGGGAUUGUUACAUUUUAGGUAUGGUAUUCAUCUUUCAAAGAACAUGUCUCCAAAGACAUAUGGUGAAAAAGAAUAGAUGGCCAGGAUUCCGUAUGCUUCAGCAAUUAGAAGUUUAAUGUAUGCUAUAUUGUGUACUAGGCUAGACAUUGGCUAUGUUAUCAAUGUGACUAGCAGGUUUCAGUCUAACCCAGACAAGGAGCACUAGGAAACGGUCCAGAAUAUCUUUAAGUACUUGCGAAGGACUAAAGAUAUAUUCUUGACAUAUGGUGGAGGAGAAUUGAGUUUACAUGGUUAUACCAAUUAGAUGUGGAUGAUAUAAAGUCUAUCUCAGGGUUUGUAUUUAUAUGUAAUGGAGGAGAAGUAAGUUGGAAAAGUUCCAAACAUCAUACUACAGCAGACUCCACUACAGAGAUCGAGUAUGUUAUUGCAUCUGAUGCAGCAAAGGAAGCGGUUUGGAUUAAAAGGUUCAUGACAAAACUUGGAUUGGUUCCAAACAUCGAGUCAACAGUACCUAUCUUUUGUGACAAUAAUAGGGCUAUUGCACAAGCCAAGGAACCCAGGUCUCAUAAAAAAUCCAAACAUAUCGAAAGACGUUUCCAUAUCAUACGUGAAAUCAUUGGUGGAGGCAAUAUAGCCAUAUAAAGAAUAGAAUCAAAAUAUAAUGUAGCUUAUCCCUUUAUUAAAGCCAUAAUGCAGAUAUAAUUGGAUCGCUAUCUUAAGAAGAUGGGUUUCAGAUACUAUCCCAAUUGGCUUUAGUACAAGUGGAAGAUUGUUAGAUGUAUGUCCUAAAAGCCAAUUGGAAUUUUGCUUUUUGGUUCAUACAUUGUGAUAUUAUUAUGUGAUGAUUAUCUUUUCAUUUAUGGUAGUUGUCUUUCAUUUAUUUUUGUAGUAACAUAAUUAUUGAAUGAGUCAAAUAAUAUUUAUUAAAAACUUCAUUCUUAAGAGUUGAGAAUAUGAGUGACGGAUGAUCUUUAGAAUAAAUAUUAUAUAAUAGUUCUUGGUCAUAGGAUUAAAUAUUGAACAUCUUUAAUCCAAAAGACCAACAUAAUGUGUUUAAGCCUAUGAUUAGUAUGAGAUACUAAUAUACAUAGGAUGGCGAGUCUCAUGCUAUUUAGUAUGAGUUACUAAGUUAAUCAUUAUGGGUCACUUGUAAGACAAGUGAACUGAACAUGACUUGUAGAAAUAAUAAAUCACAUGGAUAAUUGAUGUAUUUCGUAUCCGUCAACAAUCUCCUUGCGAAACUGCACCAUCUUUUACAUCUUUAAGGUCUUUGAUAGGAGACUUGAACUCGAUAUAUAGAGUAAGUGAAUUUUUCUCUAAAGCAUCAGGUGGUUGAUAGAAAAUUCGAGAGAUUUUGUAAAUCCAGCAUCAACAAAUCUUUAACACCAGCUUUUGUAUCAUUAAAAGCUUUUAACUCACUUGAUCGACAAUAUUUAGGGUUGAAUGUGGAGUUCAUUUCUCUGUAGUCAAGAAAUAAAACAAUGGCAAAGUGACAAAAUACAAAAGAAAAUAUUAGUAAGAUAAUACAAAAGAAGAUAGUUUUUAGUUGAAUAGUUAAAAAUGACCCAAAUAUUCUUACCAAAAAGCAAAUAGUCAGCAAUCAGUAGCUCUCUCUUUCUUUUCUCUGUAUCUUCAUCUCAUUUACAACAAGACUGAAAGUGAUUUCAUGUUUAGCAAAAAUUGGAUCCACUCAUUCCUAACUUUUGACCCAGUUGGUUAUGCAAAUCGGUAACCUCAUUUUGUAGAUUUCAUUGUUAAAUGCAAGCUGCAAUGCCUUUGCUGAAAGUUUCUCAUGGUCGUAGUUAAGAAUCUCCAUUCUUUCGGAUAUUCUCUAGUGAGAUUCCUUCAACUCAGCAUUCAAGGAAGAUAGUUUCUUUUGACUCUUCCAAAUAUGCAUUCAAAGAUAGUAUUUGAAUUUGCACCGUUCUACAGCAAAGAACUAUUAUCAUGGUUAGCCUCUGAAAAUGCACCUUUUAGCCACUCAAUCCUAUCCUCUGGUUCCAUAGAUCGCAGAUGUGCAAGCAUAUUGAAAAUGUUUAAUAGUUCUUCCCAUCUUUGCACUAACUAGUUCCUUUUCAUAAAUGAAUGUUCCAACAUUUCAUUUUGUUCAGCUAAUCCAUAAAACUUGCUUUGAAGAUCCUCAUAUUUCCUUGUCAAGUAAUGGAGUUGGGGCCAAUUUGAUGCUAGGAAUUUUUAUAUUCACAUUUUAGGGUUCAACUGAGGGAAAUUAGGAAUUAAUUUAAGGGAAGAUAGGGAAUGGGACCCACUUGCUGAUUAGACUAUUUUUUUAGUGAUGUGGCAAUAGCUGAUAUGGAGAAUCUAAAGGAAUAUUCCUUCUCAUAUUGCCAUAUCAACUUCAAUUGGCCAGAAAAUGGAAAGCUACCCUAAAUUGAUCUACUUUUGUAAAGUUUGAGUACUAAUUAGAAUCAAAUUAAAGUAUUGGUCUUGAUUUGUAACACAGUCCAAAUGUUUGGUACCAACUGAGCAAUUUACCCCUAUCUACCAAAACAUUUCCCACAACAUGGGUGCCAAGGAGCUUAAAAAAUGGAUCACCAGAUUCAUCAAUCAAUUUGUCCCUAGCUAGAGCCAAAGGAGCAGCAGUGCCAAGCAGCUCAAUGUCUUGUGAGCAUGUGAUUUUAAUUCCUAGCUUUGCCUUAAGUUGCUUCAAAAAGUAGGCAUUUCAAAUUGUUUGUUGACACGGACAAAGUCAAGGAAAACUUCUGAAAUUAUUCCAAUAUUGGACCUUAGACAUAUAAUAGUUUUGAAUUGAAUCUCUGUAGAAAGAAGAUCUUUUGUCUCACGGUAGCCCGCUCCAGUCCCCUUACGAAACUUUCGUUAUUGGGUUAGCCAUAUACUUUACAUGUUUCUAGCGAUUCACAUGGCAUCAUCAAAUGAUACAAGUCUCAGAUAAGAAUCUACAACGCACUAGAACACCCUUGUUGAUGAUCCUUUACUCCGACAGCAUCUAGGGUCCCUCGAACAAUAUGAUAUCUCAUACCGGGUAAAUCCUUAACCCUUUCCCCUCUUACUAAGACUACAGAAUGUUCUUAUGAAUUAUGGCCAAUACCAGGUAUAUAAGCAGUGAUUUCAAAUCCAAAGGUUAAUCGUACUCUGGCAACUUUACAUAAGGCAGAGUUUGGUUUUCUAGGGGUGAUAGUGGAAAAGUUGACAUAAGAAAUUCUAAAUAAAAUAGAAGAUAAUACCAUUUAAAAUUAAGAUAAGACCAUGAUACAAUUAUAGUAUAUAGUUAUAGUAUUUUCUAUAUAGAUUUUAUUGUAUAGUUAUAGUAUUUGAAUAAAAAUGAAAUAGAAUUUCAUUAGUAAAUUGUGUCUCACGCAUAUAUACCUUUAAUAAAAUGCAUUUGGAUAACAUCCUUUUUCGAUUAGGUAUGGCGUCAACUAUUCUCCGAGCUCGCCAAUUAGUUAAUCAUAGACAUAUUUUAGUUAAUGGUCAUAUAAUAGAUAUACCAAGUUAUCGCUGCAAACCCCGAGAUAUACUUCUACCCCGAGCACAUGCAAUGGAGCCGUAGACAGUCAAGUGAAAUCCACUACACGAAAUACACGAAAUAAUUUGAUCUAUGGACAGCAUCAUUGUGGUAAAGGCCGUAACACCAGAGGAAUCAUUACCGCAAGGCAUAGAGGGGGAGGUCAUAAGCGUCUAUACUGUAAAAUCGAUUUUUGACGGAAUGAAAAAGACAUAUAUGGGAGAAUUGUAACCAUAGAAUACGACCCUAAUCGAAAUGCAUACAUUUGUCUCAUACACUAUGGGGAUGCUGAGAAGAGAUAUAUUUUACAUCAUAGAGGGGCUAUAAUUGGAGAUACCAUUAUUUCUGGUACAGAAGUUCCUAUAAAUAUGGGAAAUGCCCUACCUUUGAGUGUGGUUUGAACUAUUGAUUUACGUAAUUGGAAGUAACCAAUUAGGUUUACGAUGAAAUCUAGAAAUCGAUCACUGAUCCAAAUUGAGUACCUCUACACGAUAGACCUCAAUAAAAAACUGAAGAGUAACGGCUAACAUCACCUGUAGAUAAAUAGAGCAACACCAUAAGCAGGCAACCAAAAUUCAUUUGAAUCAACCUCUUAAUCAUAACUUUAACUUAAUGAUUAGAAAAGGGAAGAAAAAAGGGGAGGAUUCAUUCUUUAACUAUGGUUGGUAGUUAAUAGCCAAGAACACAUUAGUAACUACAAUCGCCUCAAGAGCCUUAAUCUGUAAGGAACUCAAAGUCAAUCCAUGAAUACUUUUGCAAGCACCUAAUAAAGCUCUAACAAAAUGUGUUGCUUCUCAAAGAUGGAUCUUUAAAAGCCUUGGAAAAUUCAAUACAAUACUUGUAAAUGUAUACCUGAUGUUUGUAAGCAAAUUCAACAAGUGGUUGAGGAACAAUGAGAGUCAAUGGCCUCAAACGUGUCCCAAACCCUCCAACAAGAAUUAAUGCCUUCAUUGUAAUAUGGCCUCUUGUCUUUCAGUAAAUUGCAACAUUGGGAACUGGACAAAUUCUUAACACACAGAUCAAUACAUAAUGGAACCUAAAACAACAUCAACAACAAUAGAACUCCAACCAAGUUUCAUUCAAUGGACCAAGAAUUAAAUAUAUACUUCAGACCAACAUCUAUAGAUCUUAAGAAUUUUUAUCUUAUACUAAAGCUAUUGAACCUCUACUAGAAGGUACCGAUACAAAUUCAUGUUAGGUUAGAAGAGAAAUAUAAUCAUCACACUUUUUAGAGAGGAAGUGCUAGAUACUUAAAAAUGACAAAGCAAAUAAAAUAACAAGUAACUCUAAAUACAUAUCGUGAUGUAACUUAAAGAGUAACAUAAUCCUAUCCAAAUAAGUUAGUUGUAAUUAGCAAACAACUCCAGCAAAAGAAUAGGUUGGAAACUUUAAUGAGAAUGAACAAAUUAAUUCAUUCACCAUGAGUUAUUCUGUAAAUCUAACCAAGAAUCUACUUACUAUAUAAUUGAUAACUUGGUCAAGAAAAUUAAACUAUCAACAAGGUCUUUAAGUCUAACCCGAGUUUCGGUGUAUCAAAAAUAAUAGUCAGAAAGCGCCGGACAAGGUGGUUCAGCUACUCACUCUGAUGGCUAAGUCAGUAAUGGUUUUGAGUUGUAAAGUAUGUAAUAAUAGUAGAAUAAUAAAUAUAACUAACAUGUUGUAUCAUAGUCCUUUAUAUAGAGAUUGAAAGUCUCCUAGUUCUACAAGAAGUAGGACUUUGUAAAUAUAAAAUCUCCCGACCCUAUCAAAAUUAGUCUUAUUAGUCAAACAAUAGUAUUGUAAGUCUGAUCCGAAUUCUAACUAGAGCUCGACUAUGAUUUGAUCUUCAAGACUUCUUGUUCUACUUGAAUUUGGACUUAGUCAAUCCUGUAUUUCUUGGUUAUGACAACUCGGCAUGUAAUGAUCGAUUAUUAUUAGAUGCUUAGCCUACUCUUGUCUGCUCAGCCUAUUCUUUCAUACUCAACAUACUUUUUAAUGGUCGACUUAUUCUUUUAUGGCCGCCCUAUUUUGUCAUUCUUCAUGGUAGAUCUACUAUUUCCUGCUCGACCUACUAUUUUAUGCUCGGCCUAUUCAUGGUUAGCAAAUUCUCUCAUGGUCAGUCUAUUCUAUCAUGCUUGGCCUAUUAUUCAUGCUCAAUUUAUAUUUUAGUCAGUUAUCAUUAGCCCCUCCCUCUUGUGAGAGAAUGUUUAUGCUCGGUAAUUGAUAACUUCUUGAAUGAUCUUGAUAUUAUGGAGAUUGGUUAGCGAGCUCGAAAGGAUGUUGUUUAUCUAGAUGCUCUCGUGAAAAUUCAUUAAUCACUUUGGAUGAACUAGUGUUAUGUAGUUCUUGGAGCUUGUUUGCACAUUUGGAUGAAUUAGUCUUCUACUCUUUGAUGAGCUCAUGUAAUUUUGCUCUCUAGUGAGCUCGUGUAUUGCUCUCCAAUGAGUUCAUGUACUUAUACUCUCUAGAGCUUAUUUAAGUUUGCUCUUCUUUGAGCUCAUGUAUUAUUGCUCUCUAAUGAGCUUAUGUACUAUUACUUUCAAUGAGCUCAUUUACUUUUGCACCUUUGAGCUCAUGUAUUAUUGCUCUCUAAUCGGCUCAUGUACUGUUGUUCUCCAAUAAGCUCAUGCAUUAGAUUAGUUAUUUUAUAAUAAGCACUCAUGAUGAGCUUGAGAUCAACACUUUUUAUAUGUUAUGGUGCUCCUUCAUGAGCUUUGGAGAUCGAUACUUUAUUAUGUGCCUUGGUCCUCUUUCAUGAGCUUUAGAGAUUGGCACUUUGUUACAUUCCUUAGUGCUCUCUCACGAGCUUUGGAUAUCAACACGUUUUUAUGUGCUUUGGUGCUCUCUCAUGAGCUUUGAAGCUCAACACUUUCUUUAUGUGCUUUGGUGCUCUUCCAUAAGCUUUGGACAUCGACAUUUUAUUUAUGUGCUUUGGUGCUCUUUCAUGAGCUUUAAAGAUCAGCACUUUGUUAUGUGCUUUGGUGCUUUCUCAUGAGUUUUAGAGAUUGGCACUUUGUUAUGUGCAUUAGUGCUCUCUCAUGGGCUUUGGAUAUCGACACCCUUUUUAUAUGUUUUGAUGCUCCCUCAUGAGCUUUGGAGAUUGUCACUUUAUUAUGUGCUUUGGUGCUUUCUCACGAGCUUUAGAGAUUGACAUUUUUUAUGUGCCUUGGUGCUCUCUCAUGAGCUUUGGAUAUCAUCACUUUUUUAUAUGUUUUGAUGCUCUCUCAUGAGCUUUGGAGAUCGAUACUUUUUUAUGUGUUUUGGUGCUCACUCACGAGCUUUAGAGAUUAGCACUUUUUUAUGUGCUUUAAUGCUCUCUCAUGAUCUUUAAAGAUCGACACUUUUUUAUGUACUUUGGUGCUAUCUCAUGAGCUUUAGAGAUCGACAUUUUUAUAUGAGCUUUGGUGCUCUCUCAUGAGCUUGGAGAUUGACAUUUUGUUAUGUGCUUUGGUGCUCUCUCAUGAGCUUUGGAUAUCGGCACUUUUUUAUGUGCUUUGGUGCUCCUUCAUGGCUUUGCACAUCGACACUAUUUUAUGUGCAUUAAUGCUCUCUCUUGGAGAUCGACACUUCUUUUAUGUGACUUGGUGCUCUCUCAUGAGCUUUAUAGAUCAAUACUUUGUUAUGUGCUUUGGUGCUCUGUCAUGAGCUUUGGAGAUCAACACUUACUUUUACUACUAUUAUUAUCUUUAGAUCCUCUCUUUUCUUAUUUAGAUUAGUGCCUCAUGUGUCCAUAUGCUCAUCUUCCUUGUUUUGAUCCUUUAUAUCGUAUUAUGAUUUCUAUUGGAGCUAAUUACCAAAGAUAAAUAUGUGAGAUAAGUGUAGUACUUACUUCUUGAUGUUGUAUAAACUUAUGGGUGAAGAACAUUACUGUCCUUGCUUGUCGUCAUUAAUUUAUGAUUUUUUUUUUUGUAGAAAAGGACUUAAUUCUUUUUCCACAAAUGGUGCCAUUUGAUAACUUGGUCAAGAAAGGUGAGCUAUCAACAAGGUCUUUAAGUCUGACCCGAGCUCUGAUGUACUUGAAACAAUGGUUAGAAAGCGUCGGACGGGGUUGUCCGACCACUCACUCUGAUGGCUAAGUCAGUAAUGGUUUUGAGUUGUAAAGUAUAUAGUAAUAGUAAAAUAAUAAAUGUAUCUGACAUAUUGUGUCACAACCUUUAUAUAGAGANNNNNNNNNNNNNNNNNNNNNNNNNNNNNNNNNNNNNNNNNNNNNNNNNNNNNNNNNNNNNNNNNNNNNNNNNNNNNNNNNNNNNNNNNNNNNNNNNNNNNNNNNNNNNNNNNNNNNNNNNNNNNNNNNNNNNNNNNNNNNNNNNNNNNNNNNNNNNNNNNNNNNNNNNNNNNNNNNNNNNNNNNNNNNNNNNNNNNNNNNNNNNNNNNNNNNNNNNNNNNNNNNNNNNNNNNNNNNNNNNNNNNNNNNNNNNNNNNNNNNNNNNNNNNNNNNNNGUGAUUCUGGAGAAAGAGAACUUUGGGGUAUUCAAGACAGACUUUGAGAGAAACUUCCAGACGAUUAAGAAGAGCAAAACAGAGACGGAUUCCACUUUAAUAUCAUCCAGGUAGCUGUUUUUAAGGAUUGGAUUGAAGAUUCAAAGGAAAGAAGAAGGAGAUUUUGAGCUGCAGAGAUUGGAUUCAGAGUUAUUCAAGAGGGGAUACCAUUUCCACCAUUUGAGAAAAGGGUGUACAUGUUCUUUUCGAUUCUUGUUUACUUUAUAUUUAUUCUUGUAUUAGUUUAAUCAUGAACAUGUGUAACUAAUCUUAUUAAACCCAUUUGGGGGUAAUCUUUAGCUAUGCUAAGCUUGUUUUAUGCUUAAUCGAUUGAAUUGUUGAUUUAAGAUUGUAGUUUUCAUUCAAGUAUAAUAAAAUCUAUUGUUUCUUCUUCAUUGUUGAAUUAAUUUGAGAACUCCUUUGUAAUUGAGAAAUUCAAUUGAGUUUGGACAACUGCUUGUAAUUAAGUGAUUUGCAACGUAAAGAUAAGCGUAAUAACUUACUGGAAUAAGAACUAGAUAUUUUUAUUAGCGGUAAUUUAGAGAUUAAUGUUAUUCUAAUAUCAAUUGUUAGGAAGAGAUUCCAACUUUAGAUCUUUAGGAUUAGGAAUUGGUUAACUCGAGAGAGAGGCCAAUUCAUUUAAGAAAUUAUCCACAGACCGCAAUUCUUAAUCAAUCAAUUCAUAAAUUAUUGUUUUUAAGCCGGCUAGCUAAAAGGAUCCCCAAUUAGGUUAACUCAUCUCAUUGUCUUUUUCAAACUUUCAUUCUCUUUGUUAAAAUUUAGUUUCCAUUUGCAUUCUCAAUUAUUUUUAGUUAAUGAUCUUCACCACCUUUUGAUCGGUUAGAUAAUAGGAAUAGUGUACUAACAGUAGCUUCUUAGUUUUCGUGGGAUACGAUAUUGAUACUUGCCAUAGCUAGAUUAGAUUCGAUAGAUGCACUUGCCUGUAGACCCUUUGAUUAUUAGUCGUUAUCAGGGAAUUGUUUUAAGAAAUAUUGUGAACUAUGUGUUCUUAUUAAUUUAGCCAUUUAUUCUUUGUUCUGUAUUCAUUUUUGUUUGAUUUUAUUCUUUUAUUCAAUUUUGUUGUUGGUUAUUCGUUAUUCAGGUAGUGUAUGGCCAAGAGGUCCAAUCCUGAUCUAGUCGACCCUCUACCAGAACUAGAGCGAUCCCUCUAGCAGUUAAGGAAAUGGUUGAACAUAAAGGAGGAAGAGAUUCGGGUUGGAAAAGCCAUAGACGAGAGUGAGUGGAAGACAUUACAGUAAAGAUGGCAGAUGCUAAGGACAACAAUGAGAAUAACCGGAUAAUUUAUGAUUUUGUGAGACCAUCACUGGAGGGGAUGCAAACAUGCAUUACGAGACUGCCUGUCGCUGCCAAUAAUUUUGAAAUAAAGCCUAAUGUGAUUCAGAUGGUGCAGCAAACGGUUCAAUUCAGAGGCAUGCCAGAUGAGGAUCCUAACGCGCAUAUAGCGAGUUUCGUAGAGAUUUGUGAUACCUUCAAGAUUAAUGGAACAACAGACGAUGCAAUUCAUCUCCGCUUGUUUCCAUUUUCUUUGAAGGAUAGAGCAAAGCAGUGGCUACAGUCGCUACCUCCAAACAUUAUCACUACUUGAGAUUCUUUGGUAGAAAUUUUUUUGUUUAAGUACUUUCCUCCCUCUAAAAGUGCUAAACUUAGAAAUGACAUAUCCACUUUUGUGCAGUUUGAUGAUGAGUCAAUGUACAACACCUGGAAAAGAUACAAUGACCUACUUAGAUGCUACCCACACCAUGGACUACCAAUCUGGUUAGAGGUACAAACUUUUUAUAAUGGUUUGAAUUUGACUAGCAGAUAGUAGAUGCAGCUGCUGGUAGUUCUUUAAGCAGCAAGACACCAAAGCAAGCCCAAAGCUUGAUAGAGGAGAUGGCCACAAACAAUUACCAGUGGCACAUUACUAGGAGCAGGACGGGAUGUCAAGGGAGUGUACACUAGUUGGAUGCCAUUGCAGCCUUGGCGGCUCAAAUGGAGUUAUUGUCCGAGAAAAUUGAUCAACUCUAGAUGCCUGUCCAAGCAGCUCAAGCAGGUUGUGAGUUUUGUGGUGGCCAGCAUUUCAGUAGUAACUGUAUGUCGGGAGGUAUGUUUGCUUCUUCUUCAUCUAACUUUGAGCAGGUAGACUAUAUGGGCAGUCAGCCUAGGCAGCAGAACAACCUGUAUAGCAACACUUAUAAUCCGGUAUGGAGAAAUCAUCCGAACUUCGGAUGGAGGAACAACAACAACCAUGGGCCAUCAGGGUUUCAACGACUACAUUAGCAGCCGCAACAAUCUAUUCUCCCACCUCAGUCUUCUCAAGCUCAAGAGAAAAAGCAUAACUUAGAGGAGCUGAUGAUGAAGUUUGUGUCCACUUGAGAGACCAGAUUCCAACAAAUGGACGCAACUUUUAGAAAUCAACAAGCCUCCAUUCAAAACUUGGAGAAUCAAAUAGGCCAGAUUUCUAAGAUGUUGGUUAAGAGGCAGCCGAGGACUUUAUGUAGUAAUAGAAAGUCCAAUCCGAGAGAGCAUGUGAACGCAAUCACUUUGGGUCAGGUAAGUAUAUUCCUGGUUUUUCUCCUGUUUCUAAUAAUGAUAUUGAUGCGCAGGUAGAUUCAAGCAAAAAGGUAGAAGAUAACUAGGCAGAGGAACUAGAGAAGGAAGAGGCAAAGAAGAUUCCAUUGAGGGAAUACCAGCCUAAAAUUCCUCACCCUCCUAGGUUGAAGCAGGCGCAAGUCGAGCAACAGUUUGGUAAACUUCUUAAUGUAUUUAAACAACUGCACAUAAACUUACCUUUUGUUGAAGCUAUUUCACAGAUGUCUAGGUAUGCGAAGUUCUUAGAGGAGAUCCUUAGCAACAAAAGGAAGUUUGAGGACUUGUCAUUCGUGACGCUAAAAAAGGAAUGUUCAGCGAUUUUCCAAAACAAGUUACCGGAAAAGAAACAAGAUCCAAGGAGUUUUACUAUCCCUUGUGGUAUAGGUGACUUAACUAUUAGUGAUGCUUUAGCUGAUUUAGGAGCUAGCAUUAAUGUAAUUCCAUACAACCUAUUUGCUAAGUUGGGGCUGGGAGAGACAAAACACACUAGGAUGAGUAUACAACUAGCUGAUAGGUCAGUCAAGUAUCCUAAGGGUGUUGUAGAGAAUGUGCUUGUUAAGGUGGAUAAAUUUAUAUUUUCUGUUGACUUUGUAAUCUUAGACAUGGAUGGUGGGAGUAGUGUACCUUUGAUUCUAGGUAGACCUUUCCUUGCAACAUCUAGGGCGAUUAUAGAUAUUUGUGAUGGAAAGCUUGAACUUAGGGUAGGGGAUGAGACUGUCACCUUUGACUUGAAUAAUUCUAUGAGAUAGUCUUUAGAUCAUGAUGAUGUUGUGUAUUCUAUUAAUGUACUUGAUGAUGUUGUUGAAACACAGUUGCAGAAAAUGUUGGUUGAAGACCCUCUACAAGUCACUUUGCCAAUGGAAGAUAAGCAUGAGCUGUCAAAUGAGAAUGUGUUGGAGCAACUUGCAUUUUUGUUAGCUAAUGAACCAAGCAAGAAUACUGAUAAGUUUAUUGUAAUUGACAGGGUAGGUGUGCAGAAGUUGAGGUCAUCAAUUGAGGAACCACCAGUUCUUGAGUUGAAAGAGCUCCCAAAGCAUAUCGAUUAUGCAUAUCAAGACAAAGACAAUAAUUUGCCUGACAUUUCAGCAGCAGACUUGACACCCGAGGUAAGGGAGAUGACAUUAUCCUCUCUAAGGAAGUACCAAAAGGCGUUUGCUUGGGAGAUGACGUUUCUUCUUUUUUAAAUCCAUAAUUUCUAUUAAUUGUAUUUCUUUUACUCCUGUCAAUUCUCAGACCUUAUGGCAUUUCAUUUAAGCCAUCUUUCUUUUCCUCAUCUAAGAACUCUUUAUCAAUUACAUGAUGAAAUUACUUGUUCCAAAAAAUUUUGAAGUGAUAUUUGCCAUUUAGCCAAACUACAAAGACCUUCAUUUCUUAUAAGUGAAUCUAUUUCUAAAUAAUGUUUUAAUCUCAUCUAUAUAGAUAUAAUGGACCUAUAUCCCAAGCUUCUUUACGUAGCCACCACUAUUUUUUAUAUAGUUGAUGAUAAAAGUCGCUUUACUUGGAUUUUUCCCAUGAAAACAAAAAGUGAUACUCAUUUAUUGAUUCAAAAUCUUUGCACCUUUGUCGAGACAUAAUUUUCUUGUUAAGGUCAAGGUUUUACAUAGUGACAAUAGAAAGAGUUUGAUAUAUAGUCUUGUUUCAAGGCAUUAUUGACCAAACAUUGUAACUAUACCCUAUAGCAAAACAACGUCAUUGAACGCAAGCACAAAUACAUUUGGAAUGUGGCACGAUCACUCUGUAUCCAAGCUCAUUUACCUUUGAUUUACUAAAUUAAUUAUGUUCUACCUGCAAUCCAUUUGAUUAACCAUAUCCCUACUCCUAUACUUCAAAAUAAAACACCCUAUGAAAUUAUUUUUUGAUAAGCCUCUAACAUUUGUCCACCUUAAAGUCUUUGGGUGCCAAUUCUAUGCCUAUAAACUUGGCCCACAUAAAGAUAAAUUUUCACCCAAGGCCCUAAAAUGUUUGUUCUUGGGCUACCCAUCUAAUACCAAAGGAUAUAGAGUUUAUGACCUUUAAGACAAACAAGUCUUUGCAUCUUGAGAUGUUGUAUUUAUUAGGACUGAGUAUGGAUCUCGGUGAUUCCCACUCGAACCUAAUAACCAUACCGAAAAGUACCAGAACCGAAAAAACCAAAAGUUUUUAUAACCGAAUUGAACCGAUCCGAAUUUUUUUACUAUUACGGUAUGGUACUAGUUCAUUAGUAAAAACCAUACCGUAACCGUACCAGAACCGAUCUGUCUUGUACUGAUCCGGACCAAACCGUAGAACCGAAUUUUUUACAUAUAUUUAUAAAUAAUACAUUUAUUAAAAAAAUAAUACAUAUACUCUAUAAAAAAUUAUUUUAUAUUUAUCAUUUAUAUAAUUCAAGUAAUUUUUAUCAAAAUACAAAAAAUAACACAUAUUAGAAAUAACUAUAAUAUUAUAAUAUACUUUAUACUCUAUAAAAAAUAUAAGUUAUAUAUAUUAAUAUGUCACAUAGUAUAUUGAUACUAGUAAUCUAGUAUACAUACUAUAAUACUAGAUUUAAAUUUUAUUUACUAUCUAGAAAUUUUUGACAAGUUAAUUAAAAAAUUACUUAAUUUAAUAAAAAGUUAUAUAAAUUAGUAAAAAUUAUAAAAAUAUAUUAUUAUAUAAAUAUAAUAUUAUUUACACUAUAUUUAUUAAUAAAUUAAUUUUUAAUUAUAUAAUAUUUUUAUUUUAAGAAUAAUAAUAUUAAUUAUACUAAAAGUAUUAAUUUAUAUAAAUAUUAAAAUUAAGAAAUAAAUAUUUUAAAAAUAAUUUUUAUAUUAUUAUACUAAUAAAACUUAAAAAUUAAAUAUUUAGAAAUAAUUAAUUUAUUAACUUUUAAAAUAUUAUAAAUUAAUAUUAAAAUAUAAAAAUAAAUAUUAAAUUAUAUUUAUAAAUUUAAUUUUUUUUAAAAAGAAUCAAACAAAACUUGAGAAAAAAUUGUCAAAAUAUCUUUUAACAAUAUAGAAGUUCUUUACUUCCUACAACAGCGGAGGUCCUCAUUUGUUGUCAAGAUUGGCUUAGAAGUUGAAAUAAACCUAUCCAACUAGAAGAAUCAAUUGAGGAUAUUGAAAGCAUAGAGUCAGGUAACAUUUCUUUACUUCUUACAUAGGUUUGUUUAUUGUUGAUGUUGUUAAGUCUUAUUGACGUAAUUUUUUAUUUUUAUUAUAGAAAUUAUUCAAGAUCCUGAGAUUGUUGAGUCCCUUAUGCCAAGAUUAAAUGUGGAGUGCUAAUUUUGAGGGGAGGUAAUAACAUUUCUUUCCUAAUUUUGGACAUAUAUUUUAGUGCUACCUAAAGUUUGUAAAUUUAUUUAUUUUAAUGAUUGCCAUCUGUAAAAUAUUUUUAUGCUAGCAGUAAUAUAUAUUUUAAUGGUUUGUAUUUGAAUAUUGAACGAAUUAUUGUAUUUGCAAGUGAUUGAAUUGCAAAACAGGUUGUUCAAGAAAGUGAUUGCAAUUUUAAUUCAGAUUUUCAUGCUACCUUUUUUAGGUUGGUAAUCAUAUUUUCUCUAAAUUUAUUUGAUUAAAGAUGAGAUUAAAGUUAUAUUUUUUAAAUUUUUUAGAACCGAAAAUAGCAUCGAACCGAACUGUAUUGAACCGUAAAAUUGGUACAAUACGGUAUUGGAUCCUUUUAUGUUUGGUACGGUACUGGUACCUUCAAUUUUAAAAUAACCGAGGUUUGGUAUAGUACUGGUGAUUUAUAAAUAACCGAAUUGGACCAAUCCGUGCUCAGCCCUAGUAUAUACACAGUCCAUAUUUCCAUUUGCCACCGCUUCUUCAUCUUUACCCACUGAACUUGAUCUUAACUUAUCUAACCCAAAUCUUGUUUUGCCUAGUAUUAUUUGACCUAUCUUUUCUUGAUGAAACUUAUUCUCCCUUGUGUGCAGGUGAUUCAUUAAUUGAUACUUCUCAAGAUGUGCAGCUUUCAUCCUUUUCUAAUGCAAGUAAUAUCUUUUCACCCCUACCUUCUCCUUCACCUCUCCUAUAUGCUGAUCUAAAAGAGUUAUCCCUCCUCAAUACCUUCAAGAUUAUCAUACCCCUUUUUCCAAGGUUAACCAAUACUAGUUUUCACACUAUAUCUUAUUCGAUAGCUAAUGUUUUAAGCUUGAUAACCUUAACUCAUGCUCAUUGUUAAUUAGAACUCAAAGCUUUCUCUAAUUCUGAUUGGGCAGCAUGCCCUGACUCUAGAAAAUCCAUCACUGGUUUUUGUAUUUUUCUCGACUCUUAUUUGAUAUCAUGAAAAUAAAAAUAAAAAAUUAAACAAUUCUCGUUCUUCCUCUAAGCAGAGUAUAAGACCAUCACUAAUGCCACCUAUAAGAUUCAAUAGCUUUACUAUCUUCUCCAAUAUUUUCAUGUCUUCACUCCCCCAAUUGUGCUUUGUUGUAAUAAUCCUUCUGUCUUUAAAAUUGUAAAGAAUCCAGUCUUCUACGAGUCAGACAAAACAUAUCAAAAUUGACUUUAACUUGAUAAGACAAGAAAUUCAAGAAUGGUUAUUCACUUGUUGCCCGUUAAUUCUACUCAUCAAUUAGCUGAUUGCUUCACAAAGUCCUUUCCUUCACCAAUUCUCAAAACAUCUAUGUUCAAGUUGGGUAUACAAAAUUUGAGAAAGUCUUCCUAGUCUUGUAUAUAGGAAAUUAUUUUUUUUGUAAAUAGUACUCUUUUGUACAACAGUAGUUAGUUAGAGAAAAAUGCAGAGUUAGUUAGAGAAAAAUGCAGAGCUUAUAUAUAUACUGAUAAGAUCAAUACAAUUCUCUAACCUUCUCUUUGCAAUCUUAUAUUUUUUGUUAGCAACAACUAAUUAAAAUGAGAAAAGAAUUUAAAAUUUUGUAAAAUGAAAAAGAAAUAAAAAUGAAAUAGAAAAAAAAAAAAGAAAAAAAAUGCUAUACAUAAAAAGAAAAGGAAAAUUUUUCAAUUUUCCAGCAUAUAGUGAAUUUUUUUCUCAAAAUUACUUCGAUUAACUACAAUUUAUAAAAUUAUUGACAGUCAUUCCUCAUUUUUUAAAUCAAAAUUUUUUGAGAAAAAGAUAACAUUGUUGAACAAGUAAUUAAAUUUUAUUUAAGGAAUAAAUUUAGGGCGUUGACUAUAUAGGAAUUAUUAUGGAGUUAAAAUUUUUAAUUCUUUUGUCUAAUGUAAAUUGUUCUUUUUCUUUAUUAUUUGCAUUAUAUUUUUUAGGCCCGAUAUCGAAUUAUAGAAAUAUCAGCAAUCAAAAUUGAGAUCUUAGUAGAACUAUAUAUUAGCAAUACUAAUACUAAGUUCAACUCCUUUUUAUUGUCGUUGAAGUUCACGCCAAUCAAUGAAUUUAAUUGAUAAUUUCAUCCGAAGAAUAAAAUUAAAAUUAAUAUUAAAAUUAAAAAAAUUUUAAAAUUAUAUACUAAAUUUUAUAAUAAGUACAGAUUACAUAUUUUUUUAGCAAUUAAGCCUAAUGAAAAUAUUUUUGUUUUGAUUUUCUAUAAUAAAUAUCUCGGUCCUAUAACUUUAUUUUUGGAUGCUUUAUUCAUAAUAAAAUUUUUCUAUAGUUGGAAAUAGUGUAUGAUAAUUAAAUAUCCGUUUCAUUAGCUUAGUAGCAGUAGUAAUGUUCAAAUCACGAAUAAAAAGAUCUACUUUUUGUAUCCAUUAUAUAUAUACAUAUAUACCAAACCGAAGAACGUAAUAACGAGUAGUAGUAUGUUUUCUAGUGCUUCAACCAGUUGACUGAUUCAUUGGUUGAAUUGGUCUUAUUUGACUCCAUUCACCAAUUAGAUGUAGUUUGAAAAAGUAGUAAAUUAAUAGGGUUUUAUAGCAAAUAAUAAAAAGUAGAAUAUCAAAAAGAUUAUAAUAUAAAAUGAGGUAGGACUCUAUAUACCUUUUGCAGUUUCAUGCCGAACAACUGAAAUGGGUUCUCUCUUCUCCAUCAGGUUUCUUAUUGUCCUUGCCCUAGUGCCUUCCAUCCUCAUAUUUGUGCAUGCAGCUGAGAGUCAAGCGGGUAAUUUAUUUCUUUAUUAGUUAACUUCUUUUUUCAUAUAUUACGCAUGCUUAGCAUAGAUGUCUCAAGACAAAAGAACUUUUAACGAAAAAUUAUUUUCUUUUCUUUUCCUUUCAUUUUUUCACACUGUGUUCAGUUGCAAAUAUUUCCUUAGGAUAAAUAAAGUUUUUUUUUAUUUAUUUACUUAAGAUGCUAAAGAAAGUUGAUCUGCCUGACCAGUAGAAAAUCCUACUGCUGCUACUCUAAUAGGGGAGUAAUAGUAUACCUGAGUUACUUUGGUCGAGCGCGUGGAAAUAGCAGAUCUUGUGCUAUUAUCGCGUGGAACUUCAAGCGUUUUGAAGUUAUAUAUUAAAGUUAUAUACAACACUUCGUAUAAAUUAUUUUAAGCUCGAUUUAAUAAAAAAUUUAUUUAAUGUGAUACGUUUUUUUAAACAAAUUAAGCACAUAUUAGAUAGAUUUUAACUUAUUAAUUUGUUGGUGAGCUAAUUAAUAUACUCGUGUUAUAAUAUUAAUAAUUUGAGUGUAAUUUAAAAACUUUAUUAUAAAUAUAUGUGAAAGGCAGAAAAAAUAAAGAAAAAGUCCUUAAACUAAUUAGGGAUAGGUAAUUAAGCUCCUAUUAUUUAAAUUGGCUCAAUUCCACCCUUUACUUUUUUAAAAUGGGCUCAAUUUUAAUCCAAUUUGUUAACUUGGUUAACUCUUCUGUUAGUAAUGGAGCCCAUUAAAAUUAAAGCCAGAAUAACAUACUGACACGUAGAAAUAAUUUUUCUAAUUUUAUAUUUAAAUAUAAAUAAUUAAAAAUCAAAAUAUUAUCUUAAAAUUCUAAAAAGAUUACACUCAAUAAUAAUUGAUAAUGCUACCAACUCACCGUCCUCCACCACCGCCUUGCCUCCAUCGCCACCCAUCGAUCAAAACCGUAAAAUGGCCUCCAUCAAACCAAUANNNNNNNNNNNNNNNNNNNNNNNNNNNCUUCUGACCAAUUUAGCUAACAACUUUGACAAAAGUGGUCAAGUCGCCCAGGCAAAGCUGAUAUAAAAAAGUUCAAUUUGAUUCUUAAACUUUAUACUAAGUAUCAGAUUUUGUAAAAAUAAUUUCCGAUUGAGUUAGAAUAAAAUUAUUUAAUUUUAACAUAAUUUACUUUUAUUAUCUGAUAAAAUAAUAUUUCUAAUUAAAAAAUUCAAAUUAAAUAAUAUUACCAAAGUAAUAUAAAAUUAUGCUUUUAUUUAAUUUAAUAUUGCUAAAGCUUAUUUGAAAAUAUUCUUUAAUUUCUUAAGUUAUUUAUAUGAUUUUUAUAAAUAUUAUUAAUUAUCACAUAAAAAUUAUUACUUAAAUAAAACAAUAUAGAAUAAUACUGUAAUAUAUUUUACCUCCAAGAAUUUAAUGCGAUGCAACUAUUAGUUAAAGUUAAUUUAGAAUUUUAAAAUAAAAAUGUUAUCUAAUUAUUUUUAUUAAAUAAUAAGAGUAAAUUGCAUUAAAAUCGAAUAGUUUUACUUUAACUCAAUAAAAAUUCAUUUUAUAUAAUUUGACAUUUAAUAUGAAGUUUAAGGAUCAAAUUGAACUUUUUGUAUUGAGUAAGUCCUUUGAUUGGAUUCAAUUGAUCACUUUGCCAAGUUUUUAGGUAAAUUAGCCUGAAAAUUAAAAUCUGAGCUAAUUGCCCAUUAGUUUCAAAUUCAAGGGACAAAUUUGCAAUUUUGCCAGGAAAAAGAAACCACAAGGCAUCUACUUAUAUGACAUUCAUCGCUCGUAGAGCUAUCAAAACCAAUAAAAGAAAAAAAGCACAAGCCUGUUCAUCGCAUGCCACCCUCAUCACUUGAUAUUCAUCGCUUAUCAUCCUCAUCAACUAACAUUCAUCACUUGCCAUCCUCAUCACCUGACGUUCAUCGCUUGUUGUUCUCAUCACCUUAUAUUCAUCGCUUGUUGUUCUCAUCACCUGACGCCCAUCACCUGCCAUCCUCAUUGCUUGUCGUCCACAUUACUCUUCUUCGUUGGCAAUAGUGGAUUUUUGUUGGUGGAGGUGGUGGUUACUGGUAGGUGGUCGUAAUUUUGUCAUUGGUGGCGAUGGAAAAGGUGAUAGUGGUGGUUGGGUGGGGGAGUUAGCGAUAGGGAUAGGAUUAAAUUUAUAAUUUAUUCAAAUUCAUUAUUUAGUUUUUUCUUUUACAUAAUUUUUAACGUAAAAGAAGAAAAACAUAUGUGCUAACAUGAAUGUGUUAUAUUUUAAGUGAUUCCACUACUACCAGAAAUUAUAUUCUAUUAACAAUUUGACUUAUUUGGACCUUGUAUGAAAAUUAAAAGGUGAAAUUGAAACAAUAUGAAGAAUAAGGGCCUAAUUGUCUAUCUCCAAUUAAUUCAAAAGGUUUUUCUUGCACCUUCUGCCAAUAUAGAAAAGGGGUAAUUAUUAUUUACAUCAUGUAUUUGUCUAUAUUAUACUAGUUACCUCUUGACAUUUAAAAAAUAUAUUUUUGUAUCCUUCUACUUUCCAAUUUUAUACUAAAACCCCAUUUCAUCAGAAUUUCCGUUAAACAACCGUUAAUUAGGUUUGGUUUUAUACUAUUUACCCUUUAAUCUUUGGUGUAAUAUACAAAUUGCCCCUUAUAAUUUAUUUAUUAUACUAAAACCUCGUCUAAUUUUUAUACAAAAAUCAAUUUUUAAAUUCACUACAAAAAUAAUUAAUUAGUGUUAUUUAAUUACUCUAAUUUUUAGCAUAAUCAAAUUUUAACAAAAUUUAAAUAUUUUAAAAGUACUUAUAUUAAUUAAAAUAUUAAAAAUUCAUAUAAUUUAACUUUAAAUUGUUAAAAUAAAUUAGAUAGUAUUAUUAUUAUUAUUAAUUUUAUUACAAUAAGAUUGUAACUUUGAUAAAAAGUUUGAGGAUUAAAUUAUAUUCUUUUAUUAAUUUAGAUCCUUAUUUAUAUUGAUUUUCAAAACGCAAAAAGAUUUUAGAAAAAUAAAUAACAUAUAAGGGGUAAUUUGUACAUUACACAUAAAAAUCAGGAAGCAAAUAAUAUAAAAUCAAACCUAAUUAACAAUUUCCUAACAUAAAUUCUAAUAAAAAAGAUUUUUAGUAUAAAAUUGCAAAAUAGAAAAAUAAAAAAAUAUAUUUUUUAAAUAUUAAUGGAUAACUAGUAUAAUUUGAAAACACACGGGAUAAAUAAUAAUUACCUCUAUAAAAAAUCAUAUUUAGACUUACUUGCUAGAAUAUAUUUAUAAGAAUUAAUAAAUAUAUGAUAAUCCUUAUAAUAGAUUAAAAUGUUUUGCUGAAUUGACUAAAAAUUUGAUUUUUAUUCUGUUUGUACUGAGCUCUUUAGGCUCGAUCAAAGACAAAAAGAUUUAAUAAAUUUAGCUCACCACUCAUUUCAAUAAUGAACAAAUCAAACUCAAACUAAUGAAAAUCCAACUCAGCUUGAUACAGUUAAACCCUAGUAUUCCUUUAAAAAUAUAAACUUACUGAAAUACAUAAUUCAAUUCAAUUUCGAUUAAACUCCUAAGACUAAUUGGUGUCUCAGUAGCAUUUUUGUCUAAAUAAUAUAGUUUUAUUGACUUUUUUUUUUUUUUUUUUUGCAAAAGUGAAGUCGAGGAGAGAACUUGGCAGCAAACCCUUGCCAAGCCCACCCCCUCCUCCAAUUCCUCACAAGUGGAAAAAUCAGAUUGCACUGCAGCCGCCGCCGCCUGCUCCAGCACGUAACAGAUUUCUAUAGUCUAUAGAUUAGCAUUUGCAAUAAGACUUAUGCUAUGUUUAGUUGAAAUCUAUAAAAAAGUUAAAUUUAUUUUAUUUGAGAAAAAGAUAGGAAAGAAAAUAAAAUAAAAAUAAUAAAGUUAAAAAAAAUAUUUUAGUAUUAUAAAAUUCAUUGUCUUACUAAUUUAGAAUUCAUUUGAAAAUUCUACAUUAUUUAAUUUAGUUAUACUCAAUUCCACAUAACUUUAAUUAUGUAGAAUGCUAAACUGAUUUUUAUUCCAUUUAAAGUAUAUAAAUUUUAGAUUAUCAAAUGAAUUCCGUAAAUUUUAUAGAUUUCGAUCUAUUGAAAAACACAUUACAGAUAUUACCAUUUUAAUAUGGAGGUAUGGUAACAUGAAAGAAAGGAAGUGCAUUUCCAGUCUAUGAAAGAAAGGAAGCAAGCGCAUACGAAGAGCUCUAUGGAGCUCGGGUGAGGGCGCAUGUUCGAGCCCCCAACUUUCUACUACCCAUGAUAAAAGAAAAGGAGAAAGAAAGGAAGUGCAUGUAUAUGAAUGAGUGUGUUUCAUAUGUAAAGAACGGCUGGCUACUAUAGAACAACGAAUAUACUCCAGAAAACCAACAAUGUCAAUGAAUAAGUCUUCAGGCAUGAAGCAUAAUUUUAACACUAAUACAAGGACCCGUAUAACAGAGAUCAGCUUAUAGGCAGUAGUUGUUUAAUUCUCCCCAAUAAUUUGACAAUUUGUCAAGGAUCCUUUCCUGAAAUUAACAACACUAUUUACAUUUCAAGGACUGGCGUAAUGGCAUCAUCAUAACAAAAUGAAUGAGGUAGGAAGUUUAUUAUCCGUACGAGAGUCUUCCUUUACAUACCGUAACUAAUGCCAAUCAAUAUAGCAUAAUCUGUUAUCCCAAGUUCUUGAAGAUCAGUUGAUGGCUUUCUCUUUUUUGGAAAUGAUCAGGUGAAGAUGAAUUUUUCCCUGAAAGAAAAUUUUCAGUAGUUAAGGUUUUACUUGAUGAGAUCCUAAACCAAAAUUGAAUAGCAGUUUUCCAACCAGUUUGGGACCUGGCUAAAUAGUUGUUGCUUUGAUUCAGUAUAUGAGCUGUAAAAAAUCAACUAGAAGCUGUAAAUGCAGUAAAAAGAAAAUCUACAGUCAGGCCUUCAUUUAUCCCUAUCUAUUUUGCUUCAACUAUCAUAACAUUGUUGAGGAUGCCUUUGUGGGCAAGGUCUACUCACGGAAAAAUACAAGAGGACUUUAAUUUUUAAUUCUACACGAUUUAUUUUGAUCAUUUUUUUUUUUCAGUAGUUUAGUUAUAGUUGCAUUCAGUUUAGGUUUCCUAGUUUCUUUCAGUUGACGUUUCCUAGUUUCAUUAUAAUUCUGUUAUAGACAUUAUACCUAAUUAGGAGUCCAAAUUAGGGAUGUUUAUUUCUUAAGCCUAUUUAAAGAGAGGCUGUCAUUAAUAAAGGCAAGCAGAAUUUUAUCAAAAUUGCAGACGUGCCUUAGACUCUGUCAAGGACAGGUCUCUUGGCUGCCAGCAUAGGUUCUUCAAGAAAAAGGUGGGAACACGGCCAAGGGAAAGAGAGAAUUCUUGUCCGUGUCUCAACCCGUGACUAGAUCUUAUGCUAGGGCCCAUAACAACUUGGUAUCAGAGCCUACUGUCAUGGGUGACUUGGAGAGUUUAGCAAGCAAGCUUGAUGCCUUUAUGCAGACCAUGGCAGGAAGACAACAAGCACUAGAAGAGCAGAUGGAAAUACUCACUCACCAUAUCUGCAAAUCAGGGAAGGAGUUAGGAGGCAAUGGCACUGGUGGUGCAAGCAGUGGCAACCAAGGGAGCCGUGGCUGUUCAGAGGAGAGGAUAGACGGGUGGUCAGCUAGUGCCUUGGUACUCCAAACUAGAAUUUCGGUCCUUUGUAGAACAGAGGACCCACUUGGAUGGCUGAGAAGGUCGAGCAGUUGUUUAGAAAUCAGAAAAUUCAGAAGAGAAAGUUGGAUUGGCAGCUUUUCACUUCGUGGGAGAAGCACAGUUGUGGUUCUAUCAAUUGGAGCAAGAAGAGCUAGAGUUGACUUGGUAAGGAUUUCAGGAGCAUUGCAAUGUGAGGUCUGGGCCACCAAUGAACAACGGUCCUUUAGGAGAGUUGGCGAACUUGAAACAGACAGGACAAUAGAGGAUUAUCAGCGGCAAUUCCAAUCCCGUUAGCAGAAACUAUAGACCUAAAGCCCUGCCAACAGGUGAAUUUAUUCACCUCCAGACUUAUAGAGAGCCUUCAGAUUGACGUGGAGCUGCAACAACCCGGAAGCUUGAGAAUCGCAAUGAACAUGGCACGAGCUUUGGAAAGGAAACAACAAUAUACACCAUCAGGAAGUAACGGCUGGAUGGACAGGCUCUAAAUCCAGCGCUACCAGUGCUGUCUCUGCUAAAAAUUGAAGCCACAAAAGGGUAAAGGGAGGGGACAAACUGGCAGGUUCAGCAGCCAGCAGUUCAGGCAGCACUCCAUCUCGAAUUUUCAAUAAACUUUUAAGAGCAGAAAUGCUUGAAAGAAGGGCUAAAGGGUUAUGUUUAACUGCAAUGAAUCAUACACAACCAACCAUAAGUGUAAGAGACUUUUCUGGAUUGAAAUACCCGACUCGAACGAGCAGGAUAAUGAGGAAAUUAUGAGAGACCCAGAAAUUAUUUUACAUGCAAUAAGUGGAAUCCGAAGCUCUCAAACAAUGCAGUUGCAAGCUACUGUGGCAGGAUGGCUGAUGUGGGUUUUAGUGGAUUCAGGCAGCACCCAUAAUUUUAUCAGGGACUGGGUGAUCCUGAAGAUUGGUGUAGUAGUAUGUAAAAGGCCAGGGCUACAGGUGGCCGUGGCUAAUGGGGAAAGGGUCCCUAGUUUGGGUAUUUGGAAGGUGGUAACUCUACAAGUUAAUUUUGAUUCUUUUAUUACUAAUCUUUACUCUAUUCUUUUAGAGGGUUUUGAUGUGGUCUUAGGGUUAAAUGGCUAAGUACAUUGGGACCUACACUUUGGGACUUCUCAAACCUCAAUGAGCUUCGAGCUGGAUAGGAAGCAAGUGCAAUGGAAAGGGCAGAAUCAUAGUGCAGCACCAAGGGUGGCAUUAAUGGAGGGACAUUAUGCAUCUUCAGUAGCUAUGGACAAUCUACUGGCUGAAUUUGCAGACUUGUUUGAAUAACCUUCAGGAUUGCCUCCAAGUCAAAAUUGUGAUCAUUGGAUACCUUUACUACCAGGUUCCAGACUAGUGGUAGUGCGACCUUACCGUUAUCCUCAUCUUUAGAAGGAGGAGAUAGAGAAGCAAUGUGAAACAAGGUUGUAGCAAGGAAUGGUAAGGCCAAGUAGGUUCCCUUUCUCGUUGCCGGUGUUGGUGAAGAAACAUGAUGGGAUUUGGAGAUUUUGUGGACUAUUGAGAGCUCAACAGCCGGACCGUUAAGGACAAGUUUCCAAUUCUAGUAGUGGACGAUUUAUCGGAUGAGCUUCACGGAGCGUGAUAUUUCACAAAACUUAAUCUUCGCUCUGGUUACCAUCAAGUACGAAUAGACUGCCGAGAUAUAGAAAGGACCGCUUCUAGAACACAUCAGGGGCAUUUUGAAUUCCUGGUGGUGCCCCUUUGGGUUGACCAAUGCUCCUUCUACUUUUCAAUCUUUGAUGAAUGAAGUGUUCCAGACCCAUUUGCUAAGUUUGUCUUAGUUUAUUUUAUGACAUUUUAAUAUAUAGUAAAACUUGGGUUGAGCAUAUCCAGCAUAUAUGCUUGGUUUUUUAAUUACUUCGAGCUCACCACCUUUUUCUUAAGCAGUCCAAGUGCACAUUUGGGGUGACGCAAAUGACGUACUUGGGUCAUGUUAUUCAUUGUGUAGGAGUAGAGGCAGAUGUAAGCAAAAUUAAGGCGAUUGUAGAUUAGCCUGUACCACAUUCAACCAAGGCUCGGAUUAGCGGGAUACUGCAAAAAGUUUAUCAGGAAUUAUGGGCAUAUAGCAGCACCAUUGACCAGCUUGUUGAAGAAAAAUGCAUAACGGGCUGAUGAAGUCAAUUCAACAUUCUUGAACUUGAAGAAGGCUCUCUCUGAAGCUCCUGUUCUGAAGUUGCCAAAUUUUGAGGAAGAAUUUGUAGUGGAGUGAUGCUUCGGGUAGCAGCAUUGGGGCAGUCCUGCAACAUGGGCACCCAAUAACAUUUUUUAGCAGGAAAUUGGCGGAUCACCAUUAUAAACUUGCAGCAUAUGAAAGAGAGCUCGUUGGACUUACUAAAGCUGUGGCUCGUUGGCGGCCUUACUUGUAGGGGAGGCACUUCCUUAUCUGAACCAAUCAUUACAGCCUUAAAUUCUUACUAGAACAAUGGGUGACUACUUCAACCUCAGCAGCAUUGGAUUAGUAAAUUGAUGGGUUCUGAUUUCAAGGUGGAGUACAAGGCAAGGAGACUCAACCGGGCUACCGAUGCACUUUCCCGGCGGGAGGAGGACAACCAGCUCUUUGCAAUCUCUCAGCCUCAAGCUGGCAUUUUUGAUGCCGUACGGUAGAAGGGGACAACCUCGGACAGCUUGCAGCAGCUACGGGAAUGUAUAGACAGUGGAAAAGCCAAUAUUGAUUAGGAAGGAAUGGCUUGAUUUUUUUAAGGGGAAAGUCUAUUUGCUACCCACUUCUCCCGUGGUGCAGACCAUUCUUUCUAGCAUUCAUAACAUGGCCCACGAGAGGGUCCAAAAGACCUUGCAACGGGUGUGUGGGCAUUUCUUUUGGAAAGGCAUGAAUCAACAUUAGAAGCAUUUGUGCGGAGUUGCUUGAUAUGUCAACGCAAUUAACGGGAAAAUUUACGUCUUGCUGCGCUCCUUCAGCCUCUUCUGGUACCUCAACAAGUAUGGGCUAACAUCUCGAUGCAUUUCACUGAAGGAUCACCUAAAGUUCAACGAAAGUCAGUUUGGAUGGCGACUAUUGAUAGGUUCUCCAAAUAUGCCCACUUCAUUCCAUUUACUCAUCUUUUCCCGGCGAUUUUUGUGGCCCAUGUUAUUUUUACAUAAGUAUUUCGUCUACAUGGAUUACCUGAGACAAUUGUUUCUAAUAGGGACAAAGUCUUUACUAGUCUCUUUUGCAAAGAAUUGUUUCAUUUGUCUGAUGCAAAGUUGGUGUUUUCUUCAGCUUAUCAUCCUUAAUCGGUUGGGCAGACCGACGUAGUCAAUCACAUAAUCGAGAUGUAUCUUUGUUGCUUUACUGAUGAUCAGCCGCGAUGUUGGAUUGCAUGGAUUCCAUAAGCAAAAUACUGUAAUAAUACUUCAUUCCACUUUUCCCUGCGAGCUACUCCAUUUCAAGUGGUAUAUGGAAGGGAACCCCCGCCUUUGCUGAAUUAUCUUGCUGGAACAAAAAGAGUGGAAGCUGUUGACCAUGCUCUUCAGGAAAGGAAGGAAAGGGAUUCGUUUUUGCAAUCGGCAAGAGAGCAACUGUUGCAAGCUCAACAACAAAUGAAGCUUACUCAUGAUGCUCAUCAUAGAGAAGUUUCCUUUUGCCGAAAGGGAUUGGGUUUGGUUGAAGCUUCAUCCUUACAGACAACUUUCCUUAUGGCCUAAGGAAUAUCACAAGUUGUCUCCCAGGUAUUUCGGUCCUCUCAUGGUAUUGCAGUAGGUGGGCAAUGUGGCAUACAUGUUGGAGUUACCGGAGGGCAGCCGUGUUCACAAUGUCUGUCAUGUCUCACUUCUGAAGAAGUUCCAGGGAGAGAACCCAACUAUGGUUACUCCACUUCCACCUUUUCAUGAUGGCUGUUUGCUACCUAUUCCUCAAUCUUUUAUACGGUCCAGGCUUAACUGAGGCAGACAAGAGGUGUUAGUACAUUGGGAAGACUGUUCGGAAGAAAAUGCAACUUGGAAUCACCUUGCAACACUUUGAGAGGUUUAUCCGGAGCUUGAGGACAAGCUCAAAGUCGAGGAGGGGAGAAAUGUUGAGGAUGCCUUUGCAGGCAAGGUCUGCUCAUGGAAGAAUACAAGAGAACUUUAAUUUUUAAUACUGUUACGAUUUAUUUUAAUAAUUUUUUUUCAGUAGUUUAAUUUCCUAGUUUCGUUCAGUUUAGGUCUUGUAGUUUCAUUCAGUUUAGGUUUCCUAGUUUCAUUAUAAUUCUGUUAUAUACAUUAUACCUGAUUCAGAGUCCUAAUUAGGGAUGUUUAUUUCUUAAACCUAUUUAAAGAGAGGCUGUCAUUAAUAAAGUGCAAGCAGAAUGUUAUCAAAAUUGCAGACGUACCUUAGACUCUGUCAAGGACAGGUCUCUUGGCUGCCAGCAUAGGUUUUUCAAAGAAAGGUGGGAACACGGCCAAAGGAAAGAGAGAAUUCCUCCCCGUGACUAGAUCCUACAGUAGGGGCCGUAACAAACACAUUAAACAUCAAUUUUAAAAAUGAGAAAACUAUCCAAAUGAGGUUGCAACUGACAGAAUGUCCUUGUAAGAAAGGAAACAGAAAAAUAAACAAGGUAAAAGAAAAUAACUGCAAUAUUACAUUCUCUUCACUAGUGCACAAGAAGGCCAACAUACUUCCAUUCAAAUAUUGGUGGAAUUAUUGGGUAGCUUGGGAAUAGGAAAGGAGAAGGGUCUUCCUUCCAUUUUAUAAUUCACUACCACAGUACUCCAGUGGGGACUAAAAGAUUUCCUUUAAGAAGAAAUUUAGUGGAGUUUCUAACAGCUGCAGUGAAGACUAGCAAUCCAGUUUUCCAUUCACAUGUACUCAGUGAUAGAGACUACAUGCAAAAAAGUAUCUAAAUGUCUAGCACUCAACUCAAAACAAGAUGGAGGUAACUUGGCAAACUAAACACUAAGGUAAUGCAUACAUAUACAAACUUCCCUUCUUUUGCUAAUAUCUAAAUGAAUACAGAAAUAGAAUUUACCUAAAUGGGCCUAAGUACACACAUGAGUACUACCGUGAGUAAAAGAUGGCACCACUAAGACCAAUAUAUUGUGUGAAAAUCCGGAAUGACAGACAUGAAAAUUUAACUCUUUAUGUAGGAUUUAGUUUUGAACAUUGAACUAACAUUGCACUCUCACGUGCUUAUGAUUAUCAUAGCUCAAAUGAUAUAACCAUUUUCAUUUAAUUGGUUCUGCUGAUUUUUUUUCUAAUUACCUCGAACAUAGUCUUGAUACGAUGACAAUCACCUUGCUCAUGGCUGAGUAAUCGGCAUUAGCAUACUUUUCACUCGGAUCUGCAAGACCACCAACAGAACUUAUUCACUUCUGGUCAUGCGGUUUGUUCAUGCGGUAAGUAUUUCCAUUUAUUAAUCGUCAUUAACAGGUAAAAUUGGAAAGCACCUCAUGCUGCCCAGCCCAUAUGGAUUGCAUAGUGUUUAGAGAUCAGCAACAUGUAAGUUCACAGACUGGCCAAGAAAUGCAUUCCCGCUUUUGUGAUUAGAAGUCAAGAUCCCAUAUUUCCAAUAGUACUAAACUGCCUGAGGGAAACAGGCCUGCAAAAGAUCAGAUGCCGCAUAUUUUAUAUAACACAAAAAAAACAUUUUGGCUGUCAAGCGGUGAGUUCUAUCUCACUGACAAAUCAAUAAAUAAAAUGAUUAAGUACACAAAUUGAUGCAAUAUCAUUGGAUCAACGACUUCAUAUCAAAAUUGAAAAUAACCAAUUAACCUCAAUAUCUCAUUUUACUGUUGACUUCAUACUUUGUCCAUGCAGCAAUUAAUUAUACAGCCUUAAAGUCUGAACAUUUCAUCGAACACCUAAUAAUACCCGUGAACAUAAUAUCACUAACUUCAAUAAAAGCGAAACCAUUCCCGAGAAGGAUUAAAAAUUCUAAGAAUGCUCAAUCAUACAUUUGGUUAGCAUGUACAUUUCCCACAAUCUUGUCAGAUGUAGCAUAGCACCUCUAGAACAAAUUUUCUUUUCUAGGAAAAUAUUCCACAUCAUAUUUGCAUUACCUAAAGUCCUAUUAUUAUUUUUUUGCAUUUAUCACUAUCAUUUUCUUUACUAUCUCUUUAAAAUAUGGAAGAAAAUAAUAAAAGCUAAAAACUAGUUAUGGAACUUUAAAUUUAGGGUUCCAAGAAAUUAUAAAAUCAAAGAAAGCUUUCAAUUCCAUUUUCAAAUGUCUACUUUUAUUUUAGUUCCAUUUUCUGUCUCUAAAUACCUUUCAUGAGUUGCUAUCAAUAGGAUAAUUGGACAGUUUUAAUCUAAAAUUCACAUGAAAAUUCAGAAAAGCACCAAUAUGGUAAGCACAUAAUUUCCAUCCUAUGAACAUGAUUUUCAUUUUCAUCCACACAAUACCACCCCGAAGGUAUCUCCAAGCACGAGUGAUCACAAACCAGAAAAGAGAACUCGAAAUGAUCAAUCACAUUUACCCAGAUGUGACAAAACUCGCAUGAUCACCAUAUAACAUUUACAGGAGAAAAAAUUGUCAUAAGAUCUGAUAGAUCGAAUAGCAACCCCAGAGAUAAAGUGCAUGAUAUUAACUGUCCCAUACCUAAAGUAAAUAGUAAUUUGCUAACGUUGUUAUGUUAUUGUUUACAAGUCCUUUAAGGAACUGAAUGAUAAUGGAUAUUUGAGAUUGACAGGGUAAGGCUUGAUGAACAUCAGUAGUAAUAUUAUGAACCAGAUACUUAAAACUGUUUUGCGCAUUUUAAGUUCAUGAAUCACAGAAAAUACAUGGUUAAAUACUAUUACAAGAAGGAUCCACUGUCAAGCCAAAAUAAAACUAGACAAUACGUAGACUCCAAAAGUGGCUGCAGCUAUAGCAAUAGUGACAUAAAAGUAGCAGUCUCCUUCACUUCUAUAAGCAUGAGACAUUUAAUCAGAGAUUUUCAGGUUCUCUAUCAAGUAACAUGCCAUAGCAACCAAAUCAUGGCGCAAUAAUCACCCUAAGUAUCCAACUAUUUUUUUUGUUAUAAAUCAAUAGAAUUUUGUGGUUUAAUAAAUAAAAAAGGCAGCCUUAUUGCGGUUGAUUAUGCUAGCGAUCGCUACCAAACCCAGAAGUAAUUAACUGAAAGAAGGGAACCAUUCCACAGAAGGUCUUGAAGAUUAUAAAUCAGUUUGAGAAAACAGAAAAAAAGAAUGAAUGAGAAGCAUCACAGAUACACACACACAAUAAAGAAGAAUAGGAAUAUGCUCACAACUCCAAUAUUUGCAGAAUAAAGUGUUCAUUACCUGCAAAAGGAAUGUUCUCCUCAAGACAAUCCUCCUUCACGCCUGCAAUAGUAUUAUAAUAUGCUCAACUGUCUUGUUCAAACACUUCGAGCAUAUGAAAGCUCCUGUAUUUAAACAGUCAGCAGCAUGCUCUGUUCCAUUUCAGUAAACUGAACGAUGAAUAGACCCAAAUAUUAGGUUGAUCUGCCUAUUAUGGCUUAAAGAACGCUCACCCAUGGAAGUGCACCUUCCUAACCUUCAAAAUACAAUGUAGCACUGACAUGGUAUGUGCAUCUGGCCGUAUCCCCUUAUUUAACAUCUCAUCAAAAAGGACUACAGCCUUUUUUAUAUUUCCCACAUUACAAUAUCCAGAUAAAAGAGCUGUAUACGUCACAGUAUCAGGUGCUAGUCCUCUAUCAAUCAUUUCAUUGAAAAGGUUUAUAGCAUCCUGAAUGUUAUUUGUUUUACAGUGCUUGUCAAUAAGAACAGUGUAACAAAUAACAUCAGGUUUUAUAUCCAUAUCCUUCAUUUCACUCCACAAGGCUGAGGGGUCCAUCAUAUUUUCCUUGCUUUUCAUUGCAUCUAGACUUGAACUGGAGCUUCUGAGAUCUAUUUUUGAACAAUUAUUGAGCAAAACUGUGUAAGUGAUAACAUCAGGUUCAAUCCCUCUGUUCUUCAUAUCACCCAAAACAUGCCAGGCCUCCUUCAUUUUAUUCAUCCUGCAAUAACCAUUUAUCAUUAUUGUGUAUGUAAUGACAUCAGGAGCUAGCCCCCUAUCAACCAACAUAUUGAAAACAUACUGAGCCUUCUCCAUUUCUCCCGCCUGGAAAAGUGCACCAAUAACUUUACUGUACAUGAUCAUGGUAGGAUUGAUAUUCAGAGCCACCAUUGUUUCAAGCAAACACAAAGCUUUCUCACUAUCACCUUCCGAACAGAGAUUUCCAAGCAAUUUAAAGAAAGAAGCUUUUUUUAAAAUACGCCCCUGCUUAGAUAGCCUAAUAAGUAGAGCAAAGGCCUUGUUCACAUGAUUAGCUUCACAAUAACCAUUGACCAUGGCACUAUAGUUUUCCAAGCACUUCUCUUCUAAAUUAUCAAAAAAGGCUUGAGCAUCGUCCACCUUACCUCCUAUACAUAAUCCUUCAAUAAUCAUGUUAUGUGUCACGGUAUCAGGUUUUACACCCUGUGUUUCCAUGUAAUUUAAGAGGCUAAGGGCCUCUUGAGUGAGGCCAUUUCUAGAAAACCCACCAGCAAGUACAUUAUAAGUAACAAUAUCAGGUUUAUGUCCUAUGUCCUUCAUUUCUCUAUAUAUGUUCAACGCAUCAACAACUUUACCUUUAAGGAAGUAUCCACUGAUCACAGUGGUGUAGUUGAUGAUAUCUGGAACCAUCUUCUUACCUUUCAUCUCAACAAGCAGUUCCACAGCUUCUUCCACUUUCCCCAACUUGCACAAGGCAUCCAUUACCACAUUGUAGCAAGCCUCAUCAAAAAAUAUACCCAUCUUUUUGAAUUCUUUAAAUUGAUUGGCUACUUCAGAAGCCAUACCCAUCUGAGACAAGCCUUGAAGAAUUGAACUCAAAAUCACACAAUUUGUUUUGACACCUUUUGACACCAUUUCAUCAUGAAGAGCCAAAGCUUUAAGUAAAUUCCCAACCAUGCAAUAUCCAGAUAUCAGAGCACAAUACACAUACACAUCAGGGGCAAAGCCUUGUUUUUCCAUUUCACGCAAGAUGCUCUCAGCCUCUUUCAGCUUCAUCUCACUACAGAAGCCACGAAUUACAACUGUAUAAGCAAACACAUCCAUUGGAAUCUUUGCAUUUAUCACAUCUUGAAGCACUUUGAAACCCAAAUCUGAUCUCCCAUGCAAACAUAGACCUUCUAUGAAAGUUGUGUAAGAAAAAGAAUUUGGCGUCACCCCACUUUCUUCCAUAUCCCGGAACACAUCAAUAGCUUCAGCCAAAUUACCUUUUCUACAAAAACCCUUAAUUGCAAUGGUAUAAGUGUAGUCAUUAGGGUUCAGACCAAAGGCCUUCAACUGCCGAUAGAUGGCAAUAGCCAUAUCCACUUUCCUACUCUCAACUAACCGGUUCAUGAGAAAAUUACAUGACAAAAUCUGUGGAGCAAAUCCACAAUGCUUAGUUUGCAAAAGAACAUCAAAAGCCUGAUCAAACAUUCCAGAGGCAACACAAACCUUAAUCAAAGCAUCUGAGACCUGAACAAGCACACUGAAUGACUCAUUUGCAAUGCCAUCUCCCAGAGCUUCAAACAAAUUCACAAUUCCAAAAUCCAAGUUCCCAUCUUUCUUAAUAAUUUCCAUCAGUAUAGAAUCCAACUUCCUAGACCAACCCCAAAAACACAAAAUUCUAACAAUCGCAGCAUAUGUAUAAGGAUCAUGAGAAUACCCACUUUCCUUCAAUUGGUUAAAGUAGGAGAAAGCAAGACUCGGCUCAUUCCUCAGAUUGUUCAAAGUAAUAACAACUUUAGCAGUAUUUAUCUCAAAUAAAUGGUUAGUUACGGGAUUUUGGUAAUGGGUAUUAAUGGUUUGCUCUUCUUCAAUUGGGUAAUUGAAAUGAGCAAGAGCUGAGACGGUAUAUAAUCUUAUGAAGUUAACAUGUUUGAUAUAUUUUCUACAAGAAAACAACUUAAUAGAUGACACCCACAUGGAACAUGUUUGAUAUACGUUAAACAAGAAAACAACUAAAAUGAUGAUACCACAUGGGAAACUCUCAAGAGAUUUCGGAAAGGAUAUGGAAAUUAAAGGUUAAGGAAGAAGGCAUUUUUGAAGCAAGAAUGAGUAAAAGAACAGGAAAAAAGAAAAGCAGAGAGAGCAUAAUGGAGGAUAUUGAGAUGACGAAAGUAAAGUGAAGGAUUACCUUGUUAAGUGAUGGGAAUGAGAGGGGAACACGUGAGUGAGCAGCAACUAUUUGGCAACAGUUGGAAGUACACAAUUAUGAAAAGCUAAAACCCUGCGAAGUGUAGACAGUUGCAGCAACAAAAACCUGUAGUAUAUAUGAUAAAAUUAACAAUUACGUUCUCUCGGAAUGGAAAAUUAUCUAUUUUGCCCCCCUGUAUUUUAUGUUUAACAUUGGCCCUGUGCGUUUAUUUAUCAACAUUAUAUAUCUUUAAACUUUUAUGGAAUAAUUAAAUUUUUGGUAUCUAAACUUGUAAAAAAAUGACAAUCGAAUAAUUGAGUUUUUAAAAUUAACAAUUAAUAUAGCAAUCUGGAAAAAAAUAAUAAAAUAGUGUUUUUAGCAUGUAACACAUUAUAAAUAUCGAUGUGAAUUUUUUCUAUUAAAUGAGUUAACAAAUAAGAAAUAUGUGAUAAGAAUAUGUUGUAAAAAUAAUAAAAUGAUAAACUUGUCUAUGAUAUAUAAACGUAUUUUUACCAAGUUAUUAGAAUUUUAUAAUGCAAUAAAUAUUAUAAUUCCUAAAAUGGAAAUUAAAAAUUAGGAUUGUUAAAUUGAGGAUUAAUGAGGUUAGAGAAAGAGAGUUAUAUAAGAUAAAAUUUACCCUAAGACUAUAUCACUAAUAAAUCUAUUUUAAUUUUGACGUGUUUAAUAAUUUUUGCUCUCUCAUCUAUAUUUAUAAAGAUUUAAGGAAAACUUAAAAAUCACCUACUAAAAACACCAUUUUGUUAUUUUUUACAGAUUGCUAUACUCAAUUAUUAAUUUUAAGAAUUUAAUCACUCAAUUGUCAAUUCUUGAUAAAUUCAGACACUAAAAAGGUAAUUAUUCCUACUUUUAUUUUAGUUUAUAUUAAAGCCUUUUUUUUCUUUCCUUUUCUUACGGAAUGCUAUUUUUCUAAUGGCAAAAACAUAUAUAGAUCUCUAAAUUUUGUUUGUCUUUAUGAUUAACUUCUUAACUCUAUUUUGAUGCAAUUGAAUCUUUUAUCUAAACUUUGUUAAAUCCUUUUAGAAUGUCUGUUAGGUUUACGCACAUUAAGUUCUGUCUAAGAGACAUUAAUCUUCAUCAAGUUUGUUCACUAAUACCUUGGAAUUUUAUUGUUUUAAUUAAUUGAUUGAGCUGGAGCCUUUAGACUUUCUGAAUUCAUUGAUUAAAUGCUUAAUAAGAAAAGUAUGAUAAUAAAAGCAACCACAAAAAAACUUAUUAUUUAAUGAAUAAUAUCGAGGAAAUAUUUUCAAAAUAUGAACUUUAACCUUAAAAAUAAUAAUAAUAAAUAAAUAAAAUUGAGUAUAGAAUCAAAUAUGAAUAGAAAAUAUUUUUAAUUUUGAAAGUUAUUUAAAAUUAAAUAAUUAUAAGAUUAAAAAAUCAUGAUCAAAGUUGAGAAUAGGAAAAGAAUUUCUAAUCAUAUUGAAAAAUUUACAUGAAUCCAUUUAAAGUAAGAAAACUAAAGUAACACUUCACUAAAAAAAACUAAAAAAAUAUAAAAGAUCAUAUUAGGUUGAAUUAUACCAAAAUGAAAUUUAAGAGCCCAGUUAUAAGAAUACAGAAAAUUUAGAGGCUCAAUUAUGUUUUUUUUUUUUCUUAUUCUACAUUGGGUUAAUUGUCAUUUGCCCCUUAAGAUUUUAUUUUUUAUAAUCAAUAGGAUUUCAAUUUUUAAUAUUAUAUAAAGACAUCCCUCCCGUUUGGUUCUAUUAUAUUAAUACCCAUUUUUGUUAGGAUUUUUACACUUUAAUAGCUAGCCAAAUCAUAUAAUGAAAGUCAAGGAGUAUAUUCUCAUAUUUCAUUCAUAAGAUACAUUUAUCCUUAAGUUUUGAAGAUUAUAAUGUUGGGUCCUUAAUCCAACAUUGGGUUUAUAUGUCAAUAAUUAUGUAUUGUAGGAUAUCGAAUACAAUUAUUAUAACAUAUAUGAUUUCUGGUUCAUGAUUCUAUAUAGAACGAAGAACAUAAAACACAUAUGGUGAGGGCAUUGUAAAAUACGCAAUUUAUUAAUUACAGAAAAACAUUAGACAUUUGAAACAGAAAGUGGAAAAGAGAGAAUCCCAUAUUUCCACCUACAAAAACUACCACAUCCCACGUGUCCUAUAUCUGUGACUUUUUAAUAACAAAAAAUGUAGAGUUUUAUUUGUAAAAUUUUUUAAAAAUUAAAUAAACAUACCUUUGUAAUAGAAAGCGAUCUCCUUAAAUAUUUAUUCCUAUUUCAUCAGUGCAUAAGUCAUUUUCCCUCUCCACUAACAGUAGUUGACUCAAAUUCCUCGCUCAGAUAACAAUACAAAAUCCUAUGUUAGAUCAAGAGUUCGCCAAGAUUCAAUACUUAGAGAAGUCUAUCAUCGUUAAUCAAUAACAGUUGAGAGGUAAGUUUCAUAUUCUUAAGGUUUUAUAUUGCAAUGGAAUUUUCAUCUCCUAAAUCACUAAUGUUCAUUCAUUUAUGAAUGUAAUCAUUAUCAUUAUAUUGUUUAGAUUUUCAUUAUAUGAAUUAGAAAUCUAAUGAUUAUGAUCAUUAAACAUUUUUAUGUUCAUUCAUAUAUUGGAAAAAGAAAAUGAGGUUAAAAAGAAAUUUCAUCUGCUGAAAUGAGGUUAGGGUUUAUAAAGAUGAAACCUAGAAUUAGAGUUAUAAGGAUGAAUUUGAUAAUUGAUUAUUGGAAGAAAUUGUAUCUGUAUAUAAAUUUGUAUUAUAUUUAAUGAAUAUUUUAUGCUUUUGUAAUGAACAUUAUUGUUAUUGGUUAUGAACAUUUUAUAAUUGUACAAUGAACAUUCAUCAUACUGGAAAAUGUAUAAUGAAUAUUUGUGUUUUAGAUAAUGAACAUUAUACUAUAGCAUAAUGAUUAUUAUACAUUCAAUGAACACUUUCCUAUUUGAUUUUUAUUCUAAAUGAUUAUUUGUAUUCUAGAUACUAAAUAUUACAGUUUAGAAUAAUGAUUUUAUUCUAAUGCAAAUUAUGAGAGAAAAGUUACAAAUAGUGCAUAUAUCCUAAACCAAAAAAAAGAAGAAAAACUAGAGAAGAAGAGCUUACAACACGUGCAAAAAAGUAAAAGAAAAUUGCUACAACUGAAACUAGUGCUACGUAGAAUGAACCACUUUCAAAAUACAUGAAUAAGCGUAAUCCUACAACUCAAUAAAGAGAAGAAUAACAUGAAUAGUAAGAGAGUAACUCUUCAAAUGCAAAUAGAAGCAAGGAUGAUGCUGCUGUUGGUGAAAAGCAAAAAAGAAGAAAAAGUAUAUCAAACUAGAUUUUAUUACAAGAAUGUCACCAUCAGGUUUAAUAAAAUUGAUUUAGAGACUGUCCACAAAAUAAAAAGAGGUUGUUCAACAUAUUAGAUUUGAAAGUUUGCUGGAUAUGAAACUAUCAAAAUAUAAUGGAAAAUUUACUAAAUUUCUUGUGAAAAAUUUCAACCAUUGUAGAUAUGCAAUAAAAAUAUAGAGAGGCGAGCUUGCAUUGAACAAAGAAGAUAUUAUGUCUACAAUGAGUCUUUCUCGUAGAAAUAUAACAGUUUUUAAAGCAAGCAAGGGGGUUACAAUCAGUUACUAGAAAAAUUGAAGAUUAAGAUGGAAUGUAACAAUUGGAGGUCCUGUCACAAGUAAGAUGCCAGAAAAAAUGAUAAACAGAGGAGAGAUGAAUUUAAACGAGACUUUGUUAUUUUUAUUGUCUCUUCUAUGAUAAAGGAGUUCUAAAAUAAGCAAUGCAAUGUCAAAAUCUUGUACUUUCUCAUUAAAGUAUGAAAAAUAAAAGAGUUGAAAUAUUGUCGUUACACAAUCAAUAGCCUGGUUUAUUAUAUACUCCACAUCUUUCUUUUGUGGAUCUGUCACUUUCUUACUGGUAAGAAUUAUUUAUUUUAACAUUAUUCAUUCUCAAAAGUUAAAAUGUCCAAUACCAUAAACUAUAAUGUUCAUUACCUCAUGUUUUACUAUGUGUAUUGAUGAUAUUUAUAUUUAUAAUUUAUAAAUAUUCAAUAACACAUCCAUCAAUUCAUUAACAUGUUUCGAAAUGUGCAUACACACGAUCUUCCAUAUUUAUUUAUCUAUAAAAAAAGAAUGUUUAUUUUCAUAUCUCCUUAAUGUUCAUUACACAUAUGUUAAUUGUUCAUUACUUUUAUAAUGUAUUUCUCUAUAUUAUCUUUUCAAUAAACAACUAUCUUACCUAGAUAAAGUACAAUUCAAAGGAAGAGAUGUUGAUAGAGAAUUUCUAGUACUGUUAAAUUGGAAUAAAAAAGUUAUUUCAAAAAGAGUAAAAAAUGAAAUGGAAGAAGGCUUUUUUAGAAAAGGAAAUGUUAUAAUAGCCUUAAAAAAUCUUUAGAAACAGAAAAGAAAGAAGAUAAUGUUACUGCUGAUGAUAAUAUUACUGCAGAAUCAAUAGAAACUCCAUAUGAUGUCAGAAAGGUAAAUGUUUAUUACUUAGAUAUAAUAGUGUUUAUUUUUUAUAGAAUAAAUAUUCAUUCAUAGCAACUUUGUCCAUACUAUGGACAAAGUUGCUAUUGCAUUGAAGAAAAUGGCAAAUACAAUAGUAGAGUUUGGAGAAGCUAUGGCAGAAGCAAGAAGGGUGAAACCAAAAAAAUGAAAUUCUCAAGAAUACUUUCAAUUAUGUUUCAGAAAUGUACAACAACUUGACAAGCUCCCAGAAACACAAACCAACUAUUUCAAGAAAUCUAGAUCAAGAUGAUGAUUUUUUCAAUGAUCCAAAAUUUGUUAAAAUAGUAGUAGGGUUUGAAAAUAUAAAUCUGAAGCAGACAAAAGUUAUUAACCAACCUACAUUUUCAUUGGGGCUUACACCAAAUGAAGAGAGUGGAGAGUAUCAACAGAAUAAAGAAGAGGUUGAAAUGUUCAAUAAUGCAAUAUUUUCUAACGUUCUAGAACCUUCAGAACCAGCAUAAACCACAAGAAACAACUGUAGCAGUUCCAAAAAUAUCUUGAGCUAUUUUACUUUUGUAGCAGUUCCAAAAAUGUUGUUUUUUUACAACUGUAGCAGUUCAAAACUGAGCUAUUUUACUAGAAAAUAUCUUGAGAAAUGCAAAGCUUAUAAGUAAUUGGAUAAAUUCCUAUUAAAAAAUUAUUAUUUAAUAUAUUAUAUAUCUUUUACUUACAUAUACCUAAUUUUAUAGGUAUUUUUCGUGGUUCUUCGUGAAAAUCGUUACUUUUUCAUUUGCUCCAACUUUAUCAAAAACAGAAUACAACCUAUAGAUAAUGCGACUCCCAAAGAAUAUUUCAUACUUUAAAAAGUAUGAACAUCUCCUAAAAACACUGAUAAUAUUCAUUACUUAUUAGUUAAAAUGUUCAUAACUUAUAAUUAAAAUGUCCAUAACAAAUCUGAUUAUAUAUUGGUUUUUAUAUUUUUAGCAUACAUCAUUUUAAAACUAUAUGGAAAAAUAUCAAAAGAUAAGUGAAAAGGUGAAGAACUUCUCAAAACAUUUCUUAAAAUUUCCACGACAAUCAUCUAAAAAUAAUGUUGAUUAUGGCAAUGUAUUGCAUGAGGCACAUGGAAACAAUUAAAGGAGAUCUUCUAAAUUGGAAUGCAAAACUGACAAAUAAUAUAAGUUUUCAAUGUGACAUUAAUUCUUAUAAUUACUACAGCUAUUACAUAUAUUAAUUUUUUCAUUGUUAAUUGCAGUUUGAUGAAUUGAAAGUGCUUAGAGCAAAAUACUGUUCCACUAUUCUAAUGUCAAAUUUCAAUAUCAUGAACUUUUGAAAGCAGCAAAGAAGAAGUUUAUUGAAUGAAGAAUAAUAAUGCAUAGUAGUGGACAUAUUUCAUUUUUUUUGUAUAUUUUGAUUGUUUAGGAACAAAUUUCAUUUUCUAAAAAUUUUUAAUUUCUUUUUAACAAUGGACAAAUAUUUUUUUAUAAUAUUGUUAUUACAUCUCUUAAAAUUUUUUCUAUUGAUAUUCAAAUGUCCAUAAUAAUGAACAUGAACAAGAUAUUUUGAUGAAUAAUCUUUAAUUAAGUAUAAACAAACCACGAAUAUUCAUUACAAUAUGUUAAAAUGUUCAUGAUCAUUCAAUAGAAUGUUCAUUAACAUUCCUAUUUGUAAGAUUUAUAUGAAAAUUUUAUGUUCAUUUCUCUUUAAACAAUUGUUCAUGAUGAUACUAUUACAUAUUCAUGAAAAUAUAUGGUUAAAUAUUAAAACUAGAACAUAAUAAUAAUUCUUUUAAAAAAAAUAUGUUCUCAUUAUAUUAAAAAUCACAUAAAAAAGUAAAUAAAUUACAAAAAACAAAAUCAGUUGUCAUCGACCAUUCAAAGUAUUAAAAUUUAAUGAAUGUAUAAUUGAAGUAUAAUUUCUUGAAUUUAAAAUUAGUAUAACACUUACCAAUUCUGAGCUGCUAAAACUUGAGUGUACAAGAUAUCCCUCUCUAACUAUUUCAAUAACAGUUUUUUUAGAAAAUCAAAAUAUAAGCUAAGAUAAAUAUAGCAUAUAUAAAUUAAAAAAUCAACAAAUAAAGUACCUAAAUUGAAUUAUGAACUGCCAUUUUUAUUUGCAAUGCAGGCAUUUGAACUUUCUCUUGCGUCUUUUUGCUUGAUUACAUAUUUUUUCUCUAUAACACUCUUGACAUUUUGAUUACACUGACCUUUUUACUCUACGAAUAAGAGGAUUUUAAAUUUUCUUAUAUGAAGUUUUAUCACAAUCUUUCAAAGAAACAGAACCAACCUCACUCACAAUGUUAUUUUUUGCAUUCUCAAAAGCUAACUCACACUGUUCUCGAGCUUUAGCAUUAUGUUCACUAAUUGAAAAUAAUUUUUAAAAUUUUCUAGCCAUUUGAAUUUUUCAAAGUGAAGCAGCUACACUAGAUUCAUUUGACGAACAUAAAGUCAUAAGAGUAUCUCUAUCUUUGCUUUUAAUAACUCAUUUCCUCCAUUUACUAAUUAUAUAUUUAUCUAGGAUAGCUUCAAUAUAAUGAACAUUCAAUAUAUGCAAACAAUGACAGCAAAGAAUCCCCACCACUAAAAUCGUCUUGCAAGUGCAUCAUAUACUCAAAUCAUGCUGAUUGAAAUCAACCUCAUGUCGAAUCACAUCCACAUCUAGCCGCCAAAUAUGAUAUUUAAUGUUACUGCAAUUUAACAUCACACAUUCUUGAUGACAUGCAACUCUCUUUAUAAAUUGCUCUUCAAACAAAAAAAUUAAAUAUCUAUUGUGUAUAUCUUUCUAGCAUGUAAAAGGAGCUUCACAUGAUUCAUUACUAUAGCUAGUUGACCUACUAUAUAAUAUAAUCUUCCCCAUUCUCUUUACUUCUCCAUUCUGAGACUAUAUCAACAAAUAAAUUAUAAAAGUCACAAAGACCAACAGUCCUAAAAACUCUUCUAGACAAGAAACUGUUUGUUGUCUCACUCCUUUACAAUGAUAAAACACCACUUACAAAAUAGUCUUUACUAAAAGUAGAGCACNNNUAGAUAAUGAAUAAUUAAGGCAAAACAAAAUUAAUUAUUAUACAAUAUUUAAUUAAAUGAAUAUCUUAGUACAUAUAAAUUAACAACAAAUAAUAUUACAUAUCUAGUCCAAUAGAACUCAAACUCAACCUUCGUAUCCAUAUAUUUCAACAAAAGUUGAAUAAAUCUACAAAUCCUUUUUGACUUCUUAAGGAUUUAAUAUUUUUCUUUGAAUUCUCUCCAAGAUGCCAUAUCCAAAGCCUAUGGCAUGAGUUAAGAAAUACUUGAGCAAUUGCAACAGUCAUGGCAGAAGAUUGGUCUGUCAUUAUUAUUUGUGGAUAUUUCCUUUGCAUAGAUCUUAAAAAAGUGUUGAAAAACCAAACAGAAGGUGAGCUACAAUUGUCAGAAAGAGACUUAAUCUCUGAAUGAGCUCAUCUCACAACUGUGUUUAGUAAGAAGAAAGGGUAAAGCAAAAUAUGAUAGAAAGUGCUCACAUGGCCUCAACCUUUAAAGAAAAGGGCAAGGGAAAGAAAAGGAAAAAGGAUAAAGAAAUUGCAAAUACAACAUCUCAAAAGAAACAACAAAAGAAACUAGAUAAACCAAAAGGUAUUAGUUUUUCUUUUGUGGAGUUGAAGGUCAUAAGAACGCAUGGCGUGCUAAGAAAGGUAUGCUUCCUAAUUUGAUUUGUUUGGAGGUUAAUUUAAUUGUGGUUCCUAGACACACAUGUGGAUAGAUUCUAGUGCAAUAAUUUACAUCAGUGUGCCUAUGCAGGGUUGCCUGAAUUGCCCAAAGCCAAGUGAUGGUGAAAGAUACAUCUAAUGUAGUUGACAGUAAAGCAGUUCAAGGUGAAGCAAUUGGAACUUUAGAUUAUUGUUAAGGAUUGGAUUUUAUUUGGAUCUUAAUAAAACAUUUAUUAUCCCGUAUUUUAGACGAAAUUUUAUUUUUAUUUCUAUUUUGGAAAAAUCAAGUUAUUCUCGUUCAUUCGAAAAUGGAAAAUUCAGUUUGUUUCAUCAUUCAAAAUUGGUUGGUCCCGGUUCUUUUUUAGGAUACGAUAAUUUUUAUUCAAUUGAUACAAUUGCUUCAUUUAAUGAAUCCCUACAAUUAAGUGCGUGAGGUACUAAAAAAUAAACCAAUGAGAAUUCAAUUGUGUUAUGGCAUAAGAAAUUAGGUCAUAUCUCUAAACAGAGAAUGGAAAGACUUGUGUUAGAUAAAAUUUUAGAUCCCUAAAAUUCAUAGACUUUGAUGUUUGUGUUAACUGUAUAAAGAGAAAACAAACCAAUAAAAGGAGAUUUGAAGCUAACAUGACUCUAGACGUCUUAGAACUUAUACAUACAAAUAUUUGUGGACUAUACCUUAUGAUUGCUUGGAAUGGCCAGCAAUACUUUAUAACAUUCAUAAAUGAUUUAUCCAGAUAUGGCUAUAUAUAUAUAUAUCUCAUUUAUGAAAAGUCACAAUCAUUAAAUGUGUUCAAAUAAUAUAAGAUUGAAGUUAAGAACUAACUCAAUAAAAGAGUCAAAAGUAUUAGAUCUGAUCGUGGUGGUGAAUACUAUAGUAAAUAUAAUGGUUCAGGUGAACAAUGUCUAGGACCAUUUGCUAAAUCCCUAGAGGAAUGCAGUAUCAUCCUAUAAUACACCAUGCCGAGUUCACCCACUAUGAAUGGUGUAGCUAAAAGACACAAUAGAAUGCUUAAAGACAUGGUGAGGAGCAUGAUUAGUCAUUCUACCUUACUAGAAUCACUAUGGGGAGAAGCACUUAAGACUCCAGCAUAUAUCCUUAAUAAAGUUCCAACUAAAGCAAUUGUUGAAACUCCUUAUGAACUUUGGACGAGCAGGAAGCCUAGUUGUCCAACUGAGGCAAGGCCUUAUAAGCCUAAUGAAAAGAAACUAGACUCGAGAAUGGUGUACUAUUUUAUUAGAUAUUCUGAAAGAUACAGGAGGUACAAGUUUACUAAGUUAAUUUUUGAGAUAGAAAAUGCUUGGUUCUUUGAGGAUGCUGAGUUUGUGGGGGAAGAUACAAUUAAAGGCUUUAUCUUUGAAGAGAAAUACAUUAAUGUUCCCCCAAGUGUUAUUGGCAUUGAUCAGGAUCCUAUCCCUGAUUUUGUUCAAGAUACAAUAGAUCAAGACAAUGUUAAAGAACCUCCCUUUCAAGAAACUAUUCUAGAAGAACAAACUCAAGCACCUCAAGAACCUAUGCCAUUAAGGAGUUCCACGAGGAGAAGUGCAGUGCCAAAUGAUUACAUUAUAUUUCUUCAAAAAUAUGAGGCAAACAUAAGAGUGAUGAAAGACGAUCCAGUCAACAUUCAUCAAGCCAUGGAAAUUUCUAACUCUAAAAAAUGGAUUUGAUGCCAUGAAUGAAGAGGUGAAGUCUAUAAAAGACAAUUGACGUGCGGGACCUUGUCCUAUUGGUUGCAUUUGGAUAUUUAAGACCAAGAGGGAUUCAAGAGGUAACAUGGAGAGAUACAAGGUUCGCCUAGUUGUAAAGGGCUUUAUGUAGAAAUAAGGCAUCCACUAUAAAGAGAAUUUCUCUCUGGUAUCUUUGAAUGUCACUUUCAAGAUCAUAAUAGCAUUAGUGGAACAAUUCAAUCUUGAUUUACAUCAAAUGGAUAUGAAGACGACGUUUCUCAAUUUUAACAUUGAUGAGAUGAUUUAUAUGGUGCAGCUAGAAAACUUUAUGCUUGGAAACUGAAAGAAUACGGUUUGCAAACUUAAAAAAAUCCAUCUAUGGGCUCAAGCAAGCAUCUCGAUAAUGGUAUUUCAAGUUUCAUCAAGUGAUCAUCUCGUUCAAUUUUGAGAUAAAUUUGGUUGAUGAUUGCAUAUACCAUAAGUUCUGUGGGAGUAAAUACAUUCUUCUGAUUUUAUAUGUCGAUGACAUCUUACUUGCGAGUAACGAUAUAGGCUUAUUGCAUGGAACUAAGAGAUUUCUAGCUGAGAAUCUUGAGAUAAAAGAUUUUAGUGAUGCCGCUUUUGUGUUAGGCAUUAACAAUACACUAGGAUUGCUCUUAGGGUAUUCUUGGAUUAUCACAAAAGAACUAUAUCGAAAAGUUUCUCAAAAGAUAUGUCAUGCAAGAUUACAAACCAAGUGAUACCCCUAUGGCUAAAGGAGACAAGUAUAGUCUCAAUCAUUGUCCUAAGAAUGAUUUUGAGAAAAAGGAAAUGGAGAAGAUUCCUUAUGCCUCAGCGGUAGGGAGUCUAAUGGAUGCUCAAGUCUGUAUGCGACCUGAUAUCGCAUACAUUAUUAGGAUAUUGGGCAUAUAUUUAAGCAAUCUAGGAAUGGACCAUUAGAAAGCAACCAAGUGGUUCUUGCAAUACUUACAUAGAAUAAAAUAGUACAUGCUCACAUAUCAGAGGUCAUAUGAGCUUGAGGUCAUUAGGUAUACUGACUCUAAUUUUUCUAGAUGCCAAAAUAAUAUAAAAUCCACUUCGGGCUAUAUAUAUCUACUAGCUAGAGGUGCUAUCUCCUGAAAGAGUGCUAAAUAGUCUCUUAUAGACUCUUCUAUUAUGGUAGCAAAGUUCGUAGCAUGAUAUGAGGCAUCCAAUUAUGAGAUAUGGCUACAAAGUUGUCACGGGGCUGCGCAUAGUGGACAAUAUAGAUAAACCACUUGGGUGUGCACCUAAGUGUCUCUAGUGACUACGACAUUGCAAGGCCUUUCAACCUAAUUGGGAACAUGCUAAGUAGUUAUAGAGACAAGGGCGGAGAAAGGGAUUCACCACCGUGUAUUUCUCCAGGACGCAUUUACUAAUUGAGUGGAGUACUAGAUUCUAUAAGAAAGCUUUAUCACAUACAAAGAUGGACCCGAAAACCAACUUCCUUAUUUGUGUAUCCCAAUUUUUAGUUUUAUUGUUUAAUGGAAAAUUCCCUAUGAAUAUAGCAUGAUAACUCUACAUAUUAAAUACUACAAAAUGUGAUGUCCACCUAAGUCUAGCUCGUUUUAGUUAUAUCCAAUCUCCAUUUGUUUUGUUAGCCUGAGUUAACUACUCUAAUAUGCCCAAAGAAGCCCACCUAGUCUAGCACAAUUACAAGUUAUACUUUUGAUUACCAAGUUAUUACCCCAUGUGGACUACCAAUUGCAUAUUAAGGCCCAAUUCAUUCAUUUUAUUAUCAGUUAUGUAGGGCAAAGUUUACUAAAUGUAAAUAGGUUUUAAUUUAGGCACAACUUACUAAUAUAUUAACCUAAUGGACUAUAAUUUACAUACAAAGCCUAAAUUUAAGCCUAUGUCUAGGUGUCUAGUUUUAGUUAACAAUCAUACAACAGUAAUUUGUCAUUCAUCCAUAAAAAAAAAAGCAAAAAAAAAAAAUCAAGAUAAAGAAAGUAGUAAAUCUAAAUUAUUACAGCCCUUCCUAUAUCUAAUAAACUUAAGACAACGAAUAAAAAUGGCAAAAGUCAACAAAAGGGCCCGAAAUUCUUGAAAUAGGAAAAAUUUGGGAUGAAUAGCCACCUGAUGACAUCACAGAGCCGGUAAGCUCUGCGCAUAACUGAGUGAUUGUGUAUGAGCCAAUCGACUCUAGGCUCUUGUUCUAGGCCAAGUUUGUUUUUUUUUUGGCACUCCAACCCGAAAUUCUAAUGUACAUGCAUAAAACAUGUGAAACAUAAUUAAUGUUCAUACAAUGCACGAAAUAACACAUAAAAUAACUAAAUUUAAGGUAAAAAGACAUAAAACAAACUUGUAAUAAGUAGAAAUUUCUAAUAUGGCAAUUUUUAAAAAUUAGUUAUUAAACUAAUCAUGCUACCCUAAUUAGCUCAUGCCAUUACAUAUAGAUCAUCAUUAAAGAAAGAUAACCUAGCAUGUUAAUAUAUACACAUGGUUAUAAGAUUCAAAACCCUAGAAUCAGAAGUUAUAUGUUUCAAAACCUAGGAAACAUGCAUAUCAUAUAUAUAUAUAUAUAUGAAUCAUGCAAGAAACUGAUUCUAAGCAUAUUUAACAUAAGAACACAAUCAUAAAAGACAAUCAUAUUAUUCCCAAUAUGUUUAUAAUAACAAAGAUAAUAAGCAAAUUAUAAAAGAAAAUCAUAAAGGAGAAGAAAUAUGAUAAUAUGAUGCUUUGGAACCCUCAGGUUGUCACCGUAUUGUGUAGAUCCUGCAGUUUCAAGUGAUGAAGAGGAGGCUAAAUCGAGAAUAGGGUAGGAAUCCAAAGUGUUUUAGGUUUUUUUUUGUUUGAUUUUUUAGAGUGUGUAUUACCUCUAAAAAUACUUAUUAUCGAUUUUUAAGAGUGUAUAUUGCCUCUGAAAAUACUUAUUGUCAUUCUGUUAAGAGUUUCUAAUCCCUAAGCUUAGGGCUUCCUAUUCUAUUUAUAGAAAUAUGUUAAGGAAACUCUAGAGGCUUUUUUGAUAAAUAUCCAUAAUUAGAAAAACUAAUUUUGGACUUAUAAGGAGUGUUUAAUGAUAAUUAUUGAUAAAUACUGAAUACAUUAUAAAAAAUCAAUUAAAUUUCGAAUAUUUAUCAAUAAAAUAUUCUAAAAGACCUUUUUUUGUUAAUUUUAAUGUUUCAAAGUGAAAAAAAUACAUGAAACGAUGUUGGAUUUUGAAUUUGGAGCUAAUCAGGACUAUGUAGAGCCAAUCAGUCCUUUAUAGAACCAACCGGUUCUAUGCAGAGCCGAUUGGCUCAGGGUUGAAAAUUUUUGAGUGAUUUUACACCUCAGUCCUUGAACUUUUAAAAUUUACAAUUUCACCCCUCAAACUUAAUUUUUCUAUCAAUUUAGUCCAAAUUGAUUUCAGAAAAUGAUUGAAGAACCACACCUGUUUGAUUAAAGGACCACACUUGUUUGAUUAAAGGACCACAUCUGUUUGAUUAAAGGACCACACCUAAGGAUAAAAUUGAGAUUUUCCAUUACGAGUUAUUUUUCCACUUCCAUAUGUUGAAUUUGAUAAGCUUCAUCUUGAAUAGAUAGUUUUCACUUGAGGAUGUAAUUUGACUUAUUCUUAUCAUCUGGAGACUAAACUGAUAGUUUGCCUGCCUAGGAUUAAAGCAUAAUUUGAAGGUGAGAAACUAAAAUGACACUUUUAUCUUGCUUAGAACUUAUAUAUAUAUAUAUAUAUCCUUUCUAUGAAUUUUCUCAUUCACCUAUUUUUUCUCUUACUCGUUCUUACACUCAACUAAAACACCUCAAAUUUGUCUUGAAAUGGCGAGUUCUUCUUCAAGAUCUACGAGCUGCACCCCAAUUGCACUAGAUUGGGACCUUUCACCAUUGAUUUUGUGCCAUAAAGAUCUAGGGCUUGUGAAAGGGGGGAAAUCUCCAUUUUAGCCAAAUUGAACAUGCGUUAAGCAUUUCCGGCUGUGGAUGAGGUAUUUUCUUUAUCUAAACUUGUUUGUCUGUCAUUUUUAUACUUAAAUAACAUGUAAUUUGAUGAAAAAUGUGCAAAACUGAAAAAAUUGGGUUGCCCUAGUGCUUAUCGGUUCUACACAGUCUGAAACGACCAUUUGCACCUGUUUUCUUGAAAAAGAGCAACACUGUAUCAAUUAGGUUUGCUAGGCUCGGGAGUAGUUCAACGAGUUGUCGAGCUUUGUUCAAGCUCGAAUCGAUGACACUAGGUUCCAUCGGUUUGUUAUCACCCUACCUUCUACCACCGAGAGGACUGACCAUAACUCGGUCUAUGCACUACUUAAGAGGUGGAAGGAUGCUACCAUUCCUUUCACACUCCCAUCGAAGAGCUGACCUUAUCUCGCCUUUCCUUUGCUGCCAUCACAAAGAUUGACUUCCUAGGCAUGCUUGUGCCCUUUGAGGAUGCCAUUCACGAUCAAAGGUUUGAUGCUCUAGACCAUUUCAUUAUUGACUUGCUGGAGUUCUUGCCUACGCGCAAGAAAACUUAAAGCCUUGCUUAUGAGAGCAUUCUUCUUCACUAUAGAGAGUUCAUUCCCCGAUCUAAAAGGGAGGUCAAUCAAAUGGCUUGAGCCUUCCUCGUAUACUUAUUCGGGACCAUCCUAUUCUACAAUUCAAGGAAUUCGUUGAAUCUACACUAUCUAUUUCCUUUGAGAGACUUGUACCAAGUUUCUUCCUUCAAUUGGGGGUCUGCUGUACUCGCAUAUCUAUACCAGUAGAUGGACAUUACCGUUCGUAGGAGUAAGAAGCUUGGUGAUUUUUGGCACGGCGUUCACAUAAGUUGUCCUUUCCAUUGUGCAUUCCUAUUUCUUUAUCUGCACAUUGACCACUAUUUAUUUGAAUGCAGGUGUGGGCCUUGGAGCUCGUCCUUCUAAUAGGUUCCUAACCUAUUAGCAUUUCUCGGGUUUUCCCUUGAUUGAGCUGCUGGGCCUCGAGCAUGAGCAUCUCCCUGGAGUGGGCGCAGGUCCAUAUGCACCGCAUUUUGAUCAACUCCUUUAUAUCUAUUACAUAUUAGUUUGAUUUAUAAAUUUUAAAGUUCUAUUACUUACCUUUGUAUCUUCGGAUUUGCAAUGAUUGGCUUGGGGACCGUCGCUAUUGGAAUCCCUACAUGCUAUUUGCUAUAGACAUUGAGCAUAAGAGGAUACUCCUAACUGGCCCUACUUUCCAGGUGUGGUACUUGGGUGGCGAAUUUACGACUGGGAGAGGGGGCCUAAUCGACGAUGAGUGCCUAUGUCUCCUCCUCUAUCCAUGUUCUAGACGACUAACUUAGCUGACCAAGAGUUGGCAGAGUGCCUUGAGGGGUAUGAUGACCUUGAGGACCUCACCAUUCUGUUAUUGGGAUUGAUUAUGCAUCUUUCAUGACCUAGUUAUUGGGGCUUAUACCCUUAGACCAUGACACCAUCACUCAGGUAUUUUCUCUCCCUAGUUGCUUUACUUAAUUAUUAUUGUAUAGUUGUUUGAUAGUUACUCCUGUAUUACAAUUCUCAUGCGUUGCUCCUCGAGUUUCUAAGUCAGAGGAUGAAUGGCCCACUCAUCAUCCUAGGCCCACAACAUCUCGGGCUCAUCGACCGUUGCUGCUUUAAAGGCACCUCCCACAGUGAUAUAGGAGAAAUUAACCGUGACACGUUGACUAAAAAAAAUCCUUUUGUAGCAAAUCAUUUAUUAAAAAAAAAUAAAUAAGCUUAACAAAAAAGCAGAAAAAGAAAUAAUAGUAACGUGGUCCCGGGCAUCUACCAUUAUACCCACAAUGAUCAGCCAUACUAUUGCUAUCCAUAAUGGAAAGGAGCAUUUACCUAUUUAUAUAACAGAUCGUAUGGUGGGUAUAAUGGAUAAUUGAUAUACUUACAUAAAAUAUUCUUAUCCGCCGAUUUAUUCAAUGCUGGAAUCAGGCCUGCUAUUAAUAUGGGUAUUUCUGUUUCCAGAGUAGGAUCCGCUGCUCAAAUUAAAGCUAUGAAACAAGUAGCUGGUAAGUUAAAAUCGGAAUUGGCGCAAUUUGCAGAAUUAGAAGCCUUUGCGCAAUUCGCUUCGGAUCUUGAUAAAGCUACUCAGAAUCAAUUGGCAAGAGGUCAACGAUUACGCGAGUUGCUCAAACAAUCCCAAUCAUCUCCUCUCAUAGUGGAGGAACAGAUAAUGACUAUUUAUACCGGAACAAAUGGUUAUCUUGAUUCAUUAGAAAUUGGACAAGUAAGGAAAUUUCUCGUUGAGUUACGUACCUACUUAAAAACGAAUAGACCUUAGUUCCAAGAAAUCAUAUCUUCUACCAAAACAUUCACUGAAGAGGCGGAAACCCUUUUGAAAGAAGCUAUUCAGGAACAGAAGGAACAUUUUCUACUUCAGGAACAAGUCUAAAGAAAUAGAUCACUACAGGUAUAAGUAUAAAGAAAUUAAUCACUUUUAAUCUUUAACUUUUAAUUAUAAAAAUUUUAUUUUAUAAUUUAUAAAUUUACAAUCUAUAUAUUUAUAUUUUAUAAUCUAUAUAAAAUCUAUAUAAUCUAUAUAUAGAUUAUUAUAUUAUAAUAUGUAUAUUAUAUGAAAAGCAUUUGCGUCCAAUAGGAUUUGAACCUAUACUAAAGGUUUAGAAGACCUUUGUCCUAUCCAUUAGACAAUGGACGCUUUUCUAUUCCAUUCCAAUUUUUUUCUUUUUUCUUCAUUUUUUUGUUCAUAAAAAAAGAAUAUGCAAGAUAAUUUUAGGAAUUACCUAUUUUUUGAAUUAAAAAUGAAAUGUAAAAAUGUAAAUAUAAAUGAUGGAUUAAUUCUUUUAUAUUCAUUUUAGAAUUAUUUCAUUUUAGAAUGAAUUAUUCUUUUAGAAUUAAAUAUUCUAAUUCUUAGAAUUUAUUAUUAGAUUAUUAGAAUUUUCAAUUUUUUUAUUACAAUUUACAAUUACUUUUUCUAACAUUAUUUUAGUUUCUUAUUAAUUUAUAUUCUAUUAAUAUAAAGAUAGUAUAUACACUAUCUAGAGUCUAUUGAUAUAGAAUAAAUUAUAACUAUAUACUAUAACAUUAUAUUAUAUAGUUAUAAUAGAAAUAUAUAAAAACUUAAUAACUUCUAUAAUAACUAACUAUAUAGAAUAGAGGGUUAUUAUAUAUUGUUAAUAUAUAGUUAGCUAUUUAUAUAAUAGCUAAUAUAAAAUUAAAAAAUUUAUAUAAUUAUUUAUAUAAUAUAAAAUAUUAUAAUAUUAAAAAAUUUAUAUAAUAUUAUAAUAUAAUAAUAAUAUUAAUAAUUAGAAUAUAAUUAUAAUAAUAGAAAAAUAGAAAAUACGUAUAUGGUGUCCAAUUUAAUUAGACUAUUAAAAAACUAUUCAAAAAUUUUAAAUAAAUAAUUUAAAUUUUUUGAAUUAAUAUUUUUUUAGAAAUAUUCUAUAUUAUAUAUAAAAUUUUAUUAUAUUCUACAUAAAUAUAUUAUCAUAAAAAUAUUAUCUCUAUUUUUUUUUAGACUUUAUUUUUUAGUAUUUUUUAGAGAGUAUAGAGAUAUAGAUCGGGUAGCGGGAAUCGAACCCGCAUCGUUAGCUUGGAAGGCUAGGGGUUAUAGUCGAUGUUGAUUCAUCAUCUUUAACGACUCUAAUUCAAAACCGAACAUGAAACUUUGGUUUCAUUUGACUCCUUUAUGGAAUAUGGAAAAAUUUCCAGCUAUAAGAAGUGAGCAAAAAAAAAAUUCGACACAUAACAUCUAUGUCAGCUUUUCUGUCUUAAUGCAUUCAAAGCAAGGCGCUUUCUAGAUGAUCCCUCUAGACUAGUGGGGCUUUUUUAAUCUUUCUAGUUACUUCGUUCUCUAUUUCUAUCUGAAAGAAUCCUUAGGAAAGGUAGUUUGUUUCCACCGACCCAAGGAUACUAGGAGGGUUACUAGUAUCCUUUUUCAAUCGGAUAAUAUUAUAAUGAUUUAUAAUAAAUGACCCUUGAAUAUUUGUAGUCCAAACAAUUAAUCCUCAUGAGUUUUUCACACCCCGAUUAUUAUUACACCAAAUAUCUUUCUCCAAAUAUCUUUCUAUAUAAUUAUGUCUAGGAACUUGAGGUACAUCUCUUUUCCAUUUCCAUUCAAGAGUUCUUAUGUGUUUGUGUUUCCACACCCCCUUGAGACCCCGAAAAAUGGACAAAUUCCUUUUCUUAGGAACACAUACAAGAUUCGUCACUACAAAAAGGAUAAUGGUAACCCCACCAUUAACUAUUUCAUUUAUUAACUACUUCAUUUAUGAAUUUCAUAGUAAUAGAAACAAAAUACAUGUAUAUCCUACCGAGACAGAAUUUAUAACUUGCUAUCCUCUUGCCUAGCAGGCAAAGAUUUACCUCUGUGGAAAGGAUGAUUCAUUCGGAUCGACAUGAGAGUCCAACUACAUUGCAUUGCCAGAAUCCAUGUUGUAUAUUUGAAAUAAGCCUAUCCUUUAUUCUCUAUUCAUAUCAUAAUACAUAUUCCAAAAUCAAAAUAUCGAAAAAUAUCGAAACUAAUCACUAACCCAAGACCGAAAUAUUUAUAUUCGGAGGACUCUUCUGACCAAAUAAGUAAUUGUCAGUAAAUUUGUUUUUUUUUUUAUUCAAAUCCAAAGAAUUUACUUUAAUGCAUAGGUUAUCGGCUCAGCAUUGGAUAAGAAUGAGUGAAAUACCCAUUUUUCAAAACAAAAAAAGGGUUCAAAUCUUUUUUUUUGACAUGAGUGUUCUAUACCGAAAACAAUUUCCAACUAUUCAUUUUGAACUUAUUUUUGUAUUAACAUAUGUAUUAACAUAGUAGUAGAAAGAGUACCUUGCUGCAUUUAGACUUUAAACAGUUUAGCUUUAACCAUAUUAAUGGUCCCACGUUAUUGGUUGAUAGAGAAUCAAAACAUAUUUACUUUACCCAUGAAUCACGAAUUGCUAUGGUUCUUAAAGAUGAUUUCUUAAUUUAUUCAGAAGUAAUUCGCGGGAUCAUGCACCUUGUCUUUCCUAGUUAAAACAAAAAAAGCGCAACUGGUUCAAUCCAGCCUAUUCUUGAAAUAAACAACUUGCACACACCCCCUUUCCAAAAAAAUCAAUACACCAAGGACUACACUUAGAUUUAUUGGAUUUGUUGCUAAGAUAUCGGUAUUAAAUCUGAAACUCUCUGCGGAUGGCCAAUGACCCAAGGAAACGAAAGAAUCGGUUACAUUUUUUAUAGGAUCUCCUAUUUUCUUGUCGACUAUAGACAGACUAAUUAUCUAAUUAUAUAUAUUUUUUAUUCUAUUCCACAUUUUAUUUCUAUAUUCUAUAUAUUUAUAUAUUAUAUAUAUAUUCAUUUAUAUAUUCAUUUAUUAUUUUAUUUAUAUUAUUUUUUAUUUUUAUAUUUAUAGUAUAUUUAUAGAUUAUAGAAUUUCUAUUAUUUAUAUUUAUUUUAUUUGAAAUCUCUAAUAAGUAUUGUUCUUAGUAAAAUUCAGUUUAGAAUUUGGUACCAGGUCUCAUGUCAAUUGCAAAACAAAACAAAAUUAAAUAUUAUAUCCUGUUGUAGCAUUUCCUUAAAAAAAGGUUUCGAUUGUACUAGGGGGGAGGGGAGGAACAAAGCGAGUUAGUAUACUAAUUUCUCAUCCUCAAAUUAGUCCUUCAUGUGGGUUACUGUCCCAAUAAAAAUAAAUAAGUAAUUGUAGGAAUGAGAUCUUAAUAUAAUUCAAAAAACAACCAGCAAGCCCAAGACAAUAAAAAAAUACGUAUUUUUUAUAAGAUUAAACAAAAGGAUUCGCAAAUAAAAGUGCUAAUGCUACAACUAGUCCAUAAAUUGUUAAAGCUUCCAUAAAAGCCAGACUAAGCAAUAAAGUACCUCGUAUUUUUCCCUCCGCCUCAGGUUGUCUUGCGAUACCCUCUACAGCUUGGCCCGCGGCAGUACCUUGACCAACCCCAGGUCCAAUAGAAGCAAGCCCAACGGCCAAACCCGCAGCAAUAACGGAAGCGGCAGAAAUCAAUGGAUUCAUGAUAAGUUCCUCGCACAAAAAUAAAAUUAAAGAAAUGGUUAAUGAUACAAUCAAUCAAUAAAUUAUGACUUAAUUAUUCAUUCCAUCAAUAAGAUUUUCAUCCAGUCGAAGUAACUAAGAACUCCGAAUUGAAGUAAUAAUAUUAUUGAAUCAUCAGAACUACUUUGAUAUCUAUUUUUUAGUUCCUAUCCAUAAAGUUUUUGUGAAUUCAUACAACUUUUUUGUUUUUCCAUUUCUUUCUUUGUUCCGAAUCAUUCUUUGAAUUCGAACUUUUCAUUCUUUUUCUUGAUUUAAUCUCUUUAUUCAAUAUUCAAUUCACAGUUAUAAACGAAAAAAAAAAGGAAGGACUUUUCUUGGAAUCUCUAUCUAAAUCUCCUAUAGUAGGGCAGAUUAGAUAUAUCUUUUAACUCAUAGAUAACUAGCUAAUACUUAAUAUUCCAUAUACACGUCCUUCUUACAUAACGUAAACCAACUAUUCAUAUCUUAGAUUCAAUCGGAUUCUAAAAUCAUUUUUUGAAACAUUCACAAAAAGAAAAUGGGCUUAUAGCCAAUAUAUAUAUUACAUACACCUAGUUUGAUUCCACUCUCCCAAACAACCCAUUUCGUUUUUUCUUAAUCUCAUUUUUCAUAAAUUCUUCUCUUCCUUAUCAUUAUCCCACACGGAUACAAUCAAUCUAAAUGGAAGAAUUCAUGAGUCUGAAUCAUUGCAUAAAAGUUUUUGGUUGAUCUAAGUUCAUGUAAUUUCUUAUUUAUUAAUAGUUUCCUUUGGUCAAAAGAUCCUUUAGAUCUCUUUCCUUUUUUUUUUAUAAUUAAUUUAAUAUCGUAAUCUUUUUUUUUCCUUUAGUAUUUUACCAUUCCUUUAGAUGGUAUAGACCUUUUGAUUUUUGUCGAUUUAUGUGUAUAUAUUUAUGUUCACUAAGUGUAAGUAGAUUAUCUUGAACAAGGUAUAGAUUGCCUUACACUAAAAGCUAAAAAAAAAAGACUAUUUUGAAAAUUAGUUAAUGAUGCCCUUCCAUGGAUUCGCCUAUAUAAGCCGCAACUAAAGUUGCAAAAAUAAGAGCUUGAAUACCACUUGUAAAUAAUCCAAGGAACAUGACAGGUAUAGGAACCACUAAAGGUACUAAAGAAACAAGAACAACAACUACUAAUUCAUCCGCUAAUAUAUUUCCGAAAAGUCGAAAGCUAAGCGAUAAAGGUUUUGUGAAAUCUUCUAAAAUGUUAAUGGGUAAAAGGAUUGGAGUUGGUUGAAUGUAUUUACCGAAAUAACCUAAUCCUUUUUUGCUAAGGCCCGCAUAAAAAUAUGCUAUUGACGUAAGUAAAGCUAAAGCAACGGUAGUAUUUAUAUCAUUCGUAGGUGCGGCUAACUCCCCAUGAGGUAAUUCUAUGAUCUUCCAAGGUAAAAGCGCCCCC